GUUUCGCGUUCGGAGGUGAUGUCUCGGUGGAUCUCCCCGCGUCGGGGAUACUUUACGUGGUGACUUUGAAGCAAGUUUGUUUGGCGUUUGCGGCUAAUCAUGAUGAUAGUGAUCUGACUAUCUUUGGGAAUGUGCAACAAAGAACCUUAGAGGUUGUUUAUGAUGUUAGUGGUGGGAAAAUUGGGUUUGGUUCUGGUGGUUGCAAGUAAAAUUAGUCAGUUUUGAUUAAUGAACUAUUUUUAUUUGAACACAUAUAACUAAUUAUCUAAUCAAGCAAAAUGAAAAAUACAUUAAAAUAAUUGCAUUUUGAGUUUUUGAUUGGUUAUGGUUAUAGUUUAAUCAAUGUGUUCCUAUUGGAAUUUCUCAAGAUCAAAUGACCAAUUGUAUUAUCAUAUAUAUGCUUUGAGCUAGUUCUGGGAAAAGAAAUCUUAAUUGCAUUAAAUAAUCAUGUGGGGUUGAUAUAAAAAGAAAAUGAAAGGAGAAAAUAUGUCGUAAAACUGUGUUAUAUAGUGGUGGAAGAAGACUUUAAGGGCAAUGGUGAUAAGAUGUAAAAUAUAUAGAUUGAAGUGACUAUAAUAUGUGUAAUUUAUGGCAAUUGUUGAUAGAUGUGUAAUAUGAUACUAAUUUAAAGUUGUACUUCCGUCAAAGGUUUAUUGAAUAAAAAUAUAACAUUUUGGAUUAUUUUGAUUCUGUUCCUUUUUUUUUCUUCUAGGAAUUUGAUUUUAUUAAUAAUAAAAGUUUAAUUUGAAUGCAAUGAUGAUAUAAAAUAUUUUACACUGUUAGUAUAUUACAAUCACUCAUAUCUAUUAUCUUAAAGGUGGUUACUAUACAAAUCAAACAUUUUUAAACGUCGAAAGGUUGUGAUUAAUUGACAGUGUUGAGAAGUAUGAUAGAUCUUAACAAAAAGGAACAAACAAAUAUUGAAUAAUUUGAAAUUGAUUCAAUGAAAAAAAGAUGAAUACAAUGAGUAUUUGAUAAAUUUUAUAUGGAUAAAGUAAUCAUAACCAAACUAACAAAUUUUAACUAACUUAUAGUCAAUACUAACCAACUUGUAUCUACCUAUAAUAAACUUCUAAAAGUCUACAGAAUAUAAAGUGUAGAUUAACAUUUUCCAUUUUGGAUGAACAAUACAUUUAUAAAAAAAAAAAAAAAUACAUUGUAACUAAGUAAUGCGCCUUAGAAAAAAAUAUAAGCCGUAAUCGCAUCGAUCGGCUAAAAAAACUUGGGGAAGAAAGUGGCAAAUUUUACAUUAUGUGGUCCAUUUCACCACUAUGAUAGAUCGAUCUUGGACCAACUCAGAGCCAUGUUAUAUGUUCACUCCAAUCCACAUAAUGACAAUCAUAUUAUGAGCACGACCACUCGAUGGGAACGGUCACCUCACAUUAGCAAGGACACAUGUACGAAAUAAGAAAGUGAUCCGAGAAUCACAUAGCCUCUCAAUUACAACCCUAACAAAUAUCUUCUAAAAAUCCUAUGGAAUGUCAUAUAAAUGAUCAAAUUAUAGUUAUACUAAAAGUUACAUUUAUUUAAUAAUAUUGUAUCAGAUAAAUAUUUUUUUAAAUCGAUCAAUAAAUUAAAAUUUAAUAUCAUAUAAAUUAUAUCUAUAAAUUUUUGACAAUAAUAUAUAAUCACUUCUUAUAUCAUCAUAAUGCGUUAAUGUUAAUGUCUGUUGGGUGGGCUCACUCCUCAAGUGGAACCCACCAAUUUUAUUAAUAUUAUUAUUGUUAUUAUUAUUGAAAUAAAAGAAAGAAAGAAAAAAAAAGGAUUUUAAUGGGUUUGGCCCAUGUGAAGGAAAUAAAAGGGAUUUAGAAAUCCCUAAGAAGCAUGAAUGAGAACAGUUUCGAAAAAGCAAAGGAAAAGUAGAACGGCAGCCAGAGAACAAAAAAGAAAGGUUUGGUUCUGGUGGUGGUAACAGAUGUGUAGCAAACUUGCUUCGUUUGACCUACAAUUUUGAUAUGUUAUUUCUACCAAUGAGUUUGUUAUUUUAAUAUAUUGUCUGAGUAGUUUUAUCUUCUCUAAGAGUUACUUUAGAAACCCACUUUAGUGGAAGGUUGUUAUUGUUGAUUGAUGUUCUCUAUUGUUAUUAGGAAGUCUCUGGUGACCCAUUAAUUAUUAUAGUGGAAGUUUUUACUGGACUAGGUCUCGUGGUUUUUUUCUCUCCAUUUGAGGGAAGUUUUCCACGUUGAAAAUUAUGUUUGUCUCAUAUUUAAUUUUCUACCAAAUAUUUUUGUUUUGUGGAAUUGUAUUUUCUGUUUGACCAUUUAUUUGCACAAGUGGGGGAAAAAUAUUAUGUAUUAUUGAGAUAGUUAUCACUAAUUAUCUCUGGUUUUUCCCAAUAAAGUGGUAUCUAGAGCUCAAUUAUUUGAUUUGUGCAUUUAAAUGGAGGAGGAAAAUAAAUUUCCAAAUAUGAUUAAACUCAACUCUUCUAACUACACAUUUUGAAAGACUCUCAUGGAAGACAUGUUAUAUAGUAAAUAUUUGUAUGAUCCAAUUGAGGAUAACAUUGCUAAACCUGCAGAUAAAUCUGACGCUGACUGGAAGAAGAUGAAUAGAAAGGCAGUGGCGUUGAUCAGACAGUGGUUGGAUCUGAGUGUAUAUCCACAUGUUGAAACUGAAAUAGAUGCUAACAAAAUGUGGGAAAAAUUAAAAGAGUUGUAUGAACGAAAGAAUGUGCAAAUAUAAGCAUUCUUGAUUUAGAAGCUGGUGGAUAUGAAAUACAAAGAUGGGAAUUCAAUGACAGAGCAUAUGAGUAUUUUUCAUAAUACAGUGAAUCAGUUGACAACCGCAUAAAUUAAAUUAGAUGAUGAGUUGAAAGCAUUGUUAUUGUUGAGUUCCUUGCCUGAUAAUUGGGAAGUCCUUGUUGCGACGUUGACCAAUUCAGCUCCAAGUGGAAAGUUGAAAAUGUAAAUAGUUAAAGAGAGCAUGUUAAAUGAAUAAGCUCGAAGAAGGGAAUGUGGUUUGAUUUGUUCUUCCUCAAAGUCAGAAGCACUAGUUACAGAGUCACGGGGGAGAAGUCAAUCUAGAAACUUCCAUAAACGAGACAACUCUGAAAGUCGUUGCAAGUCGAGAACUAGAAAAGAAGUUAUAUGUUAUUAUUGUGGUAAAGCGGGUCACAUAAAAAGAAAUUGCAGGUUCCUUAAGAGAGAUCAAUCAAGGGAAAGAAAUGACAAAAAAGAGAAGAAAAAUGAUAACGAUACAACAACAAUUACAUCUGUUAGUAAUGUCUACAUUGUUUGUGAUGAUAAUUCCAUAAACCUUGCAUGUUAGGAUUCAACUUAGAUUAUUGAUUCGGGUGUCUCAUAUCAUGUUACUCCUAACCGUGAUUUCUUCUCACGUUACAGUGCUGGUGAUUUUGGCAUGGUAAAAAUAGGAGAUGAAUGAGUUUAUAAAAUUAUCGGUAUGGGAGAUGUUUGGGUUGAAACUGGGAUUGGCUGCAAGCUUCAAUUGAAGAAUGUUAGACAUGUUCUUGAUGUUUGUCUCAAUUUGAUUUUAGUCAAAGCCUUGGAUAUUGAUGGUUAUCAUACUUACUUUGGUGGUGGUAUAUGUAAAAUCACCAAAGAGUCCCUAGUGGUUGCAAAGGAACAAAGUUUCACUUCUCUCUAUAGGAUGCCUACGAAGCUAUGCAAGGAAGAAGUGAAUGCAAUUCAAGAUGCAUCUUAUGAUUUAUGGCAUAUGCGCCUCAGUCACUUGAGUGAGAAAUGACUCAACAUACUUGCGAAGAAAAAUUAUCUUCUUGUAAAAGGUACGUCUUUAAAAACUUGCACUUAUUGUUUUACUGGAAAACAACAUAGAGUUUAUUUUCAUAAUAUUGGUACUAAAAUGAGGCAAAAUAUUCUUGAUUUAAUUCAUACUGAUGUUUGUAUGAUGAAUAGUAAAUCUCUUGGUGGUGCAUCAUAAAGAAAAGUGUGGGCAUGUCCUUUGUGUAGUACCCUAAUUUUGUCCAAUUUAUUUAAAAAUAAAUCAAAAAGGAAAUAUAUAUAUUAAAAAGGGAAAUAAAAUAAUUACAAUGAUUAGGCUCAUCAAUUUACAAUACCAAAUCAGUUUACAAUUACAAUUCUAAAAUUAAAUCAAAUUACAAUUUCAUAUUACAAUCAAAUUGCAACAAAAAAUAAAACCAAAUUAAAUUACAAUAAGAUUUAGGUCAAACUUUUUCAAAUUAAGCCAGCCUGCUUUGGCUCAGUUUUGUUGCUGAUGCUGCCUUUCUGUUCCUGAUGCAGUGUCAUGGUUGAUGCACAAGCCAUGCUCAUUGAUACAUACCUGUUGUAACUAAUUAGAGAAACUGAAAACCAUUUUUUUUACCAGUCAGACCCAAUAUACAUGAUAAAAACCAAAUGACAAAGUUUUGAGUUUAAAAAAAAGAAACUAAGGGACAAAUGAAAAAGGUCAGCAAACAAUCAGAUAAAACAAAUAAAAGCUAAAAUCGUGAAUAGAUCAGAGGUGCAGAAAAAAAACAGAUUAUGAGUAAAUAAUUUAAACAUCAAACAAGAAAUUGAUGGAGAAGGACAAAGGCAGGCAAGAAAGCAACUAAACAGAUAAAAAACUCUAUAAAAACACCUUAUCAAUUUCAAAAAAGGGGGAUCGGAGAUUAACUCUACUAAAAAAAAUACACUUACAAAGAAGGAAAAAGGAAAUAAAUCAGAAGCAGUUUUUAGUAACAAACAACAAACACGAAAUAUUAAGGUAUUUUUUUCUUCUUGUACAAUAUAUAUCUUGCUAUUUAUCAUCAUCAUCAACAUUACUCUUUUAAUUAAAAAAUGUUAACUUUUUUUUUAUUUUAUUUUAAUGAACGAAAACAAUUAAAAAUGCGAACAUGAUGUUGUCUUCUUCAUUGUUGUCAUUGUCGUCGUCGGCACCGUCACCAUCGCCGAGGUCGCCGUCGCCGUUGGCACUAAGGCCGCCGUUGGUGCUAAGGUCGCCGUUGGUGUAAAGGCCGUUGUUGGCGUUAUGUCUGCAGUCACUAUUUCCUUGUUCCUCUUCAUUUUCCUUUUGUUCGAUUGAUGCAUCCAUCCAUAUUUUCCCUUCUAUUUUCAAAACAGAGAAUGGAACAAGGAAGAAGAAAAGGUUUCUUGUUUGUUUGUUUCCUGUUUCCCGAGCGGCUGCCUCCCCCCUCUAACUAGGGUUUCUUGUUAGUUUGUUUUGGACCUUUUUUUUAAAGUUAGUUUGGGCUUGGGUUUUAAACAAAAAAAGCAAUAAUUUGUUCAAACUCAGCCCAUUUAAAACUUUUUAUUUUAUUUUAUUUUUUACAAAAAUGGUUAAUUUUCUUUCAUAACUAAAUACCAAUUUCAUCAUAAAAAAUGCAAAUAAACAUUAUAUUAAAGAUUAAUUAAAUGUGAACUCUUUUUAAUCUUUGAGUUGUUAGAACAUAAGUGGUACAACUUGAUAGUUCUAAAACUCUCUUUAUUUCAUUUAUUUAUUUAUUUAUUUAUUUUAUUUAUUUAAUUUAUUUAUUUUAUUUACUUUAUUCUAUUUACUUAUUUAUUUAUUCAUUCAUUUAUUUAUUUUAAUGAACUAAUUUAAAAUCGACUUAUUUAUUAGAUGUAACUCUUUUUAAUUUUUGAGUUGUUAGGACACAAGUGGUACAAUUUGAUAGUUCUAAAACUCUCUUUAUCUUAUUUAUUUAUUUUAUUGUAUUUGUUUAUUUAUUUAUUUAUUUUAAUUAACUAAUCUAAAAUCGACUUAUUUAUUAGAUGUAACUCUUUUUUAUCUUUGAGUUGUUAAAACACAAGUUGUCUACUUGGUGGUUUUGAAACUCAAUUUAAAAAUCGAGAGUAAUAAAAUAUUUUUUUAGAGGAUUAAACUAGAUGUGACAUCUUCUUUAUUCCUUGAGUUUUGGGACACAAGUUGUACAACUUGAUCGUCCUAAAACUCAUAUUUUAAAAUAUUUACUCAAAUCAAACUCUUUUAUUUUUUUUUUUCUAUUUUUGUCAAAACAUUUUUUAUCACAAAAUAAAUUUUCUUUAAAACACACUCAACACAUCCGUAUUUUUUUAACCAAGAACUACGUAACUUUGAUUUCUCCAUCGCACCGGGAGAUACGUAGGAGCAAGAUCACAUUCUUGUCAAGCACAUAAAUAAAAAUUUCUUCUUUUGUCCUUUAUUUGUUAAGUACAUAUUUAUUUCAAAAUCAUAUUUUAAAAAUAGUAAUAAUUGUUAUUCAUAUUUAAUAAUAAAGAAAAAUAAAUAUACUUCAGUUAAAAUUAAUCUUGCACAAUUAAUCAUAGGUAAUCGUAUUUUAACGGAUGUCGUAGGGUGCUAAUACCUUCCCUACGCAUAAUUGACUCCCGAACUCAAAAUUUGGUUUCAAAGACCAUUUUUUUUUUUUCAUUUUUUCUAUUUUUAAUGGUUUUCCAAUAUUUUCCCUAUUUUAAAAUAAAUUUUGGUGGCGACUCCAUUGAAUUCGAGAAACACUCGAAAUUUUAGGCCCCGACAGCUGUCGACUCCACUGGGGACAUUUUAGAGAGUCAGGCCUAAUAAAUUAUUAUAAUAAAUUAGUUGAUAUUAUAAUAAAUUAGUUGAUAUUAUAAUAUUUUUAAGCUUGUAGAUCAUUUUUAUUUAUUUAUUUAUUUAUUUAUUUAUUUAUUGAUUCAUGUAUUUAUUUAGUUAUUUAUUUAUUUGUCUAUUUAUUAUUUAUUUAUUAUUUAUUAUAUGUUUUAUUAUCGUUUUGGAGUUAUUGAAUCAUACUUAUUCUACACCCUACACUUUUAUUAAGACACACACUUAUGUGUAGAACCUUACACCCGGGUUUGAACAAAACUUAAGUUUAGUUUCGAGGUUGUGUAGUGGUAGCCUUCUGGAUGUACAUCCUGUUUGGUUAGCAUGAAAAUCUCACCCGUAGUUUGAUCUUGUUGAGGGUAUUGUCACUCCAAAUAGUUUACCUAUUGUUGUUGACAAUAUUCCAAAAUGAGAUUUUUGGCUCUAGGGACCGUGUUUAGAACUAUAGAGCCACCUUUGUGAGAGUUUCACUACAUAAGCCAAUAGACCCUUUCAUUAUAAGAAUAUCCAUAUAAGCAAAAAGCACCUCAUACAUUCAUUCAAAAUGUUAUAUAUUCAUAACAGGCAUUCUACAUAAUUGCAUUCAUAUCUCAUGACAUUGUUUCUUUUGGAAAAUGAACUGACAUUUUGCAUCAAUUUUCAGGAUUGUUGGGGAAUUAUAAGAACCUUAGUCACGUGUUAAAUUAAAGUGGACAAUGGGAUUGGAAAAGAGAAAAACUUUACUUUUAAAGUUCAAACAACCUGAUUUGAAAAGUUUAAGAGACAUUGGCAAUCAAAUGAAAACUAUACAACGUGAGAGUUGCUUUUGCAAAUAUGGGAAUAUCUUAAAUCUCUUGGCAGUAAAUGUGCAAAUAGGGGCACUCACGGCGUUGGCUCAGUACUACGACCCUCUCUUAAGAUGUUUCACCUUUCAAGGCUUUCAGUUGGCCCCGACAUUAGGGGAAUUUGAGCGAAUAUUGGGUUAUUCCCUAGAGAAAGGAAAUCCUUAUCGAUAUACUGGGCAACCACCAAGUUUGGAUGCAAUUUCUGAAGUGUUGAAAAUCGACAUAAGAGAGUUGAUAAGUACAAAAGAAGAAAAAUGAGUCAUUCAUGGUUUUUCGAGAAAUUAUCUAGAGCAAAAGUGUCACGAUUUAGCCGUUAAAAAAGAAUGGAGUACUUUUAUAGAACCUUUCAAGACUUUCAGUUGGCCCCGACAUUAGAGGAAUUUGAGCGAAUAUUGGGUUAUUCCCUAGAAAAAGGAAAUCCUUAUCGAUAUACUGGGCAACCACCAAGUUUGGAGGCAAUUUCGGAAGUAUUGAAAAUCGAUAUAAGAGAGUUGGCAAGUACAAAAGAAGAAAAGGGAGCCAUUCAUGGUUUUUCAAGAAAAUAUCUAGAGCAAAAGUGCCACGAUUUAGCCAUUAAAAAAGAAUGGAGUGCUUUUAUAGAUGUUUUGGCUCUAAUUAUCUAUGGUAUUGUUUUAUUCCCAAACCUUGAUAAUUUUGUUGAUUUUGCUGCUAUCAAUGUCUUCUUAUCUUUUAACAAACAUAAGCAAAAUCCAGUUCCCGCGAUUCUUGCUGAUGUAUACUACUCUCUACAUAUGCGACAUGAGAAGAAAGGGGGAACAAUUUUGUGUUGUGCUCCAGUGCUGUAUAUCUGGUUUAUGUCUCAUAUGUUCAAGAAAGGGUAUCAUAUUGGAAUUAAAGAUAAUCGUGAAUGGGCUCAAAGUAUAGCUAGCCUUACUGGAGACAUAAUUUCAUGGUAUCACAGAGAACAAGGGGUGGAGGAAGUAAUAUGUCAAUGCGGAGAUUUCCCAAAUGUGCCUCUCAUGGGAACCAAAGGAUGUAUUAAUUACAAUCCAACGGUAGCUUUGAGACAACUUGGCUACCCUAUGUUGAAAAAACCAGAUGAUAAAUCAUUGGAAGCUUUUGUUUUGCACAAUACGGGUAUAGUAGACCCACUGAUGUUGCGAAGGAUAAGCCGAACUUGGGAAAUGAUCAUUAGAAAAGGAAAAGUACUUGGAUGCAGAAGUUGCAGCACAAAAGAACCCUAUCAACAAUGGGUAAAAAAUAGAGUCCAAGAAAUCAAGUUGCCUUUCCACAGUACACCCUCGAGCGAUCAGGAAAUAUCUGAACCUACCCUUGCCACCAAUGGAGAAAUAGAAGAACUCAAAGCAUCAUUGUUGAAAUCUAAAGAGGAGAAAAAAGAGCUACAGGCGAAGUUAGAAAAAGUCUCCCAAUAGAAUGAGAACUUACGCUUAGAAAACACAUGUAAAAGUCAGUUUAUUGAAAUAAGUAACAAGAGGUUGAAAGUUGAAAAAGAAAAUAAACUUGACAUACAAGAUUGUUUGAGAGGUGCAAAUGAAGAGUUAGAUGUACGAAAGCAAGAAAAGAAUGCAGCUAUCGAAGAGGCCUAUAUGUGGAAGCAAUUGUGGACAAUAUCAGCAAGCUCUGAAAAGAAGAUAAAAAAAGAGUUUGAAGAUUUAAAGAAACAACUGAAAGAAAUGGUAGCUGAGUAUGAGAGUCAAGUAAGGAAUAAGAGGCAAGAGAAAGAAGAAAUUGAAAAACUACUCUCAAAACAUCAAGACGCACUAAGAAUAGAAAUGGAGAAUUCUAGUGAGCUGAAGAAUUACAUUGAUUACCAAGAAAAGAUCUAUAGUGACCUAAAGGACGAAACCUUAUAUUGGGAGGAUCGUUUUAUGGUGUUGCUAGGUCAAUUAAAGAAUCAAGAGAUCUAUAAAGAGCUGGAAGAUAAAGGAAGACAUUGGAAAGACUGCUUUUCAAAAUUGGAAGUGCUAGCUAAUCAAGCAGUCUUAAAAAUUCCAAAGCAUCUAAGAGAGAUUGAUGCGGUAAUUCAUCCAUUGAAUACUCCAGUCAAAGUCUACAAGUUCGUUGAAUAUUGCAAAAAUUUGAUAGAAGAAUUGGAGGAGAAGAUUGGUUGUCCUAUUAAAGGAGAAGAUUGAAAUCCCAUAGUCAAUGUAGUUAUUAAUUUGAAUAUGAUGUACUCUUUUUCUUAUCAAUGAAGGAUUUUCUAUUUUGAUUUCGAGUCCUCAUAUUUUCUUCACUAAUAAUUUGUUAUUGCUAUUACCUAAGGCAUAUGAUUCCCCACUAUCCAACUAUCAUAAUUAACUAAUUUAUUUCAUUUCCAUCACAUUCAUAUUUUAAUACUCAUAGAAAUUUUAUUUUUUUAUUAUUUUUUUAAUAUAAAAAAACAGAAAAAAAAAUCAAUAAAGCUGUUUCCCCGACAUCCUUAUCAAACGCGCGUGAAUUCCAAGAUCAUGGAUGAACUCGAGCAAAACCAAUAGGUGAUAAGAGCGGAUGUCAACCAACUGAAGGAAAAGGUCGAUCGAAUCUUGGAAGCUAUACAGGCUUUGGCAAGGAAGGAGAAUACAGAUGGGGAUCCUCCAAUUGUAAAUGAAGAACACCAAACUACUCCUUCUCAUCCACCGGGUUUUACCCCGACUAACCAACAAUUCCGCACUGCAACUAUGCAAUUUCCUAUAUAUGGUCUCCCGCCUGGUUAUACUCCGCCUGUAGUCAUUAACCCCAUAGAAAAUAACCAAAACCACUCAGCUGUCAAUCCCCAAAACUUAAACCAAUCACAAAUCCCACCUCAUCUGGGCUAUGUGCCACCCCAAAACACUAUACCCACAGAAAAUAUUCCAUAUAGUGUACCUCAAGUGCCCCAUUUUGAUGCUAACGGGAAUUGGCAUCAACCUCACAUUGGGGAUGAUACACAAUCAAAGGAAAAAUUCCAUGUCUUGGAAGAGCGAAUAAAAGCAAUUGAGGGGUAUAAUGUUUAUGGCCUAGAAGCUUUCAAAAAAUUCCAUGUCUUAUAGGAGCGAAUAAAAGCAAUUGAGGGGCAUAACGUUUACGGUCUCGAAGCUUUCGACAUGUGUUUGGUUCCUGAUGUGACUAUCCCUCCAAAAUUCAAGGUUCCUGACUUUGAAAAAUACAAAUGCAACACAUGUCCUAAAAAUCAUCUAACUAUGUAUUGCAGAAAAAUGUCUUCUCAUGCUCAUAACGAUAAACUUCUCAUUCAUUUUUUUCAAGAUAGUUUGAAUGGGGCAUCGUUAAGUUGGUAUAUGCAUCUUGAGCGAAGUCGUAUUCGUUUGUGGAAAUACUUGGCUGAUGCCUUCUUGAGGCAAUACAGGUACAACAUUGACAUGGCCCCUGAUAGGAUGCAAUUGCAAAAUUCAUUGAAAAAGGACAACGAAGCUUUCAAAGAAUACGCGCAACGGUGGAGGGAAAUUGCAUCACAAGUAGAACCUCCUUUAUCUGAAAAAGAAAUGGUUGGUAUGUUUAUGGAUACUCUCCAAUUGCCUUUUUAUGAUAAGAUGAUUGGGAGUAUGUCAUCAAACUUUUAUGACAUUGUCAUGAUAGGAGAAAGGAUAGAAAGUGGGAUGAGGAGUGGCAAGAUUGUAUGUGCAGCAACUGGCAUAAAAAGACCCCAAGCGACCUUCACAAAAAAGAAAGAAGGGGACGUUAACGCUAUAAUUGUAAACCCCAAAGUCUCCUAUUUUCCACCUAUUAAUUCUUAUCGACCCCCAAACUUUCAGCCCCCGAUACCACGAACUCCUUACAUUUAGGGGUGGGAAUAGGCCAGGCCGUCCGUCAGGGGCCUAUGGCCUGGCCUACUUAUGGCCUGGCCUGGCCUGUUUAAUAAAAAGGUCAGGCUCAUGNNNNNNNNNNNNNNNNNNNNNNNNNNNNNNNNNNNNNNNNNNNNNNNNNNNNNNNNNNNNNNNNNNNNNNNNNNNNNNNNNNNNNNNNNNNNNNNNNNNNNNNNNNNNNNNNNNNNNNNNNNNNNNNNNNNNNNNNNNNNNNNNNNNNNNNNNNNNNNNNNNNNNNNNNNNNNNNNNNNNNNNNNNNNNNNNNNNNNNNNNNNNNNNNNNNNNNNNNNNNNNNNNNNNNNNNNNNNNNNNNNNNNNNNNNNNNNNNNNNNNNNNNNNNNNNNNNNNNNNNNNNNNNNNNNNNNNNNNNNNNNNNNNNNNNNNNNNNNNNNNNNNNNNNNNNNNNNNNNNNNNNNNNNNNNNNNNNNNNNNNNNNNNNNNNNNNNNNNNNNNNNNNNNNNNNNNNNNNNNNNNNNNNNNNNNNNNNNNNNNNNNNNNNNNNNNNNNNNNNNNNNNNNNNNNNNNNNNNNNNNNNNNNNNNNNNNNNNNNNNNNNNNNNNNNNNNNNNNNNNNNNNNNNNNNNNNNNNNNNNNNNNNNNNNNNNNNNNNNNNNNNNNNNNNNNNNNNNNNNNNNNNNNNNNNNNNNNNNNNNNNNNNNNNNNNNNNNNNNNNNNNNNNNNNNNNNNNNNNNNNNNNNNNNNNNNNNNNNNNNNNNNNNNNNNNNNNNNNNNNNNNNNNNNNNNNNNNNNNNNNNNNNNNNNNNNNNNNNNNNNNNNNNNNNNNNNNNNNNNNNNNNNNNNNNNNNNNNNNNNNNNNNNNNNNNNNNNNNNNNNNNNNNNNNNNNNNNNNNNNNNNNNNNNNNNNNNNNNNNNNNNNNNNNNNNNNNNNNNNNNNNNNNNNNNNNNNNNNNNNNNNNNNNNNNNNNNNNNNNNNNNNNNNNNNNNNNNNNNNNNNNNNNNNNNNNNNNNNNNNNNNNNNNNNNNNNNNNNNNNNNNNNNNNNNNNNNNNNNNNNNNNNNNNNNNNNNNNNNNNNNNNNNNNNNNNNNNNNNNUUUUUAUUUAGAAUUAUUUCUUGAGUUUAUCUACUUUGUAUAAUUAUAUAAUAUAUUUUAUUUUAUCAUUUUUAUAUUGUUCAGGAAAUGUCUUCUCCCUUAGAAAGAAGUGAACCAAUUUCAUCUACUCAUAUGACUAAUAAUGAGGCCAGCGAACAUAUGUCUAUAGAUUCAACUCAAGUAGAAGUUAACACACAGACAAAUGAAAAUGACACCGCUCUAGAAAACAGAAGUCCAAUUAUUGGGAGAAAAAGGAAAAAAAACAUCAGUUGUUUGGAAUGAUUUUGAUGAGGUUGAAAUCUCUAAAGGUGUGAAGAAAGCUGUUUGCAAAUAUUGUAAACUAAAAAUGUCUACUGGUGGAUCAGGAGCUAGCACUAGUCAUUUGAAAAGACACGCUAGAGGUUGCAAUCAAAAGAAGUUGCAGACGGCUGCUGAAACAAGACAAGUCAUCAUUCCAUUUCAGCCAUCAAAGUCAAGUAACCCUUUUAUUAGUACCGGUGUUAGAUACUCUAAUGAAAAGAUGAGGGAAAUAAAGGUAUUUACGUUCUUAAGACUAAAUCUUUUUGUGCUUUGGACUGGUGGAGGAACAAUAGCAUGAAAUAUAAGAUUUUGUCUAAAAUGGCUGCAGAUGUACUAGCUAUUCCAAUCUCAACUGUGGCAUAUGAGUCCACAUUUAGUGCAGGAGGUAGAGUUAUUGAUGAAUUUCGAUCUAAAUUAAACGAAGAAUCUGUUGAAGCUCUAAUUUGUGGCGGAGAUUGGUUUCGUCAUAAGUAUAACGUGAAGAAAAAAUCAAAGGUUAAUAUUUUUUAUCAAGUAGUAUUUAUUCAUUUUUUUUUUAAAUUUGGUCAUAUAUUUAUUUAUUACUUUUUAGUUAAGUGUCUAACAUAUAUGUAUUUUUUUCUUUUGUUUUUGAAGGUUGAUAAAAAAGAGAUACAAAUCACCUUGAAGAUUUGAUAUCAUUUUUUUGUAAUUCAUUGGACUUUGAAUGUGUUUUGUUGGAUGAUAUGUGUAACUGUUUAUGGGGUUCAUUUGGUUUUAUUUGUAAUUUUUGAAGGACUUUUUAGAAUUUGUUAAUUAUGAAUUCAUUUUGUUUUUUUCUUUUUGUUUUAUGGGAAGUUUGUUGCAUUACAAACUUGUUAGUUAUAAUUUUAUUAGCUUUGAUUAUAAUUUUAUUAGUUUUCCUUGUAUAUAAAGGCCUAAUUUAGCCUAUUUAAAACAAAAAUAUAAAAUAUAACAUUUAAAUAUUUUAAUGCGAAUAAGGCUUUUAAAUAGGCUUACAGGCCAGGCCAUGAUAGGCCGUAGGCCAGGCUCAGGCCGAAAAAAAAGCCUAUGAUAGGUCGUAGGCCAGGCUUAGGCCUAAAAAAUUCAUCGUAGGUCAGGCUCAUGCCUUUCAAAGCCUGGCCUGGCCUGGCCUAUUCCCACCCCUACUUACAUUCCUUAUCCAUAUGUGGCUGCAACCACACAAGCUUCAUACCCUCAAUAUCACCCUUCAAGACCACCUUUUUAUCAACCACCACCUACCGCAUUUUCCCAACAAAGUCAAUGGAACCAAAAUCCAAUCUCAAAUCACUACAGACCACCUUCCAAUCGAGAAAAAAGAAUAAACCGUUUUGACCCAAUUCCUGUCACGUACAGUGAAUUGUUGCCUCACCUACUUCAAAAUUCAAUGGUAGUCCUAAGGCCAAUGAAACCUCUAGAACCACCAUUCCCUAAAUGGUAUAAUCCAAACGUCAAAUGUGAAUACCAUGCCGGAGCCGUGGGGCAUUCUGUCGAAGAUUGUCAAGCCUUAAAAACUAAAGUGUAAGAAUUGAUUAAUUCAAAAUGGCUUACCUUCAAGGAAGACGGUCUCAAUGUAGGGAAUAAUCCUUUGCCGGGUCACAAAGAUGCCGCUGUCAAUUUCAUUGAAGAAGAGAUAGACCAGUACAAAAAAGAUGAUUAUGUAUCGACCAUAGAGCCAUGCAUGGAAAAUGAUAGAUCUUUUCCAAGACCAUUGGAAAUCCUCUAUAGAAAAGAGAAUCCUAAGCCAACUCAUAGUGGGAAAAAUGCAAUAAUUGUCCAAGCACCAACCUCUUUUCCCUUUGAAAAUAACAAGGCGGUACCAUGGAGUUAUGAUGUCAUAUCCUAUUUAGUCAACCACCAAUCAGGCGAUAGCUCUAAAUAUCAAGGUACUGAUGUCACCAAUAUUUCAGGGAUUGGUGGGAUGACCCGUAGUGGUCGAGUAUACACUCCUUAACAACUAAGGAAAAAGGAAGGUCAUGGAGAGAAAGAGCUUACGUACCAUGCCAUAAAAGGAUCAGAAACUUGCAAAAAGACAGUGCCUGAAGAAGAAGCUAACAAAUUUUUGAAGUUUAUCAAGCAAAGUGAGUAUAAGGUGGUAGAUCAACUAAAUCAAACCCCUUCCAAGAUAUCUAUUCUUUCGUUAUUAUUAAACUCUAAAGCGCAUUGAAGAGCAUUGAUGAAAGUUUUAAAUGAGGCCCAUGUUACUCAUGAUAUUACUGUAGACCAGUUUGAUGGAGUUGUCGGUAAUAUCACCGCCAGUAGCAGGUUGAGUUUUAGCGAUAUCGAAUUACUAGCUGAGGGGAUGGAGCAUAAUAAAGCACUACACAUCUCUGUGAGGUGUCAUGAUCAUAUUCUUGCACGAGUGCUAGUUGAUAAUGUUUCAUCAUUAAAUGUCAUGCCGAAAUCGACACUUUCAAAACUAUGUGUUAAUGGGACUUGUUUGAAGCCGAGUGCUAUGGUGGUGAAAGCGUUUGAUGGAUCUAGAAGACAAGUUGUUGGUGAGAUUGACCUGCCAAUUCAAAUCGGACCCCAUAACUUUGGAAUAACUUUCCAAGUUAUGGAUAUUAAACCGGCGUACAACUGCCUUUUAGGGAGACCGUGGAUUCACGCUGCUGGAGCAGUGACAUCCACCCUCCACCAAAAGCUAAAGUUUAUAAUAAACAAUAAGUUGGUGAUAAUAUCUGGGAAAGAAGAUAUGAUAGUGAGUCAUCUAUCUUCUACGAGAUAUAUUGAAGAAGCGGAGGAAGCCAUAGAGACUUCCUUCCAAGCAUUAGAAAUCGCCAAUGUUGUCUCAAUGGGUGAAGGAUUUCGUUUAAAAGAACCAAAACUAUCUACCACAUCGUUGAAGUCUACAAAAUCCAUGUUGGAAGGAGGAGCUUUUGUUAAAUUUGGGAAAUUGAUAGAAAUACCAGAAAAGAAGGUUAAGUACGGGUUGGGAUAUGUACCUACCAAAGCUGAUCAAGAGAACGCGGUAAAAGAAAAAUGAGAAAGCAAGCUAGCUCGUUGGGAAAAUCGGGUAUCAAAUUCACAAAGGAUCACUAUUUGUGACAUUCAUCAAACCUUUCAAAGCGCCGGAAUAAUAUAUGCUGAUCAAGUGGUUGUUCUGGAAGAGGAUCAUGUUGAUGAUGAUACUCUCGAAUUGGUGUACCCUUGUUCUCCAAACACCAAUCUCAAUAAUUGGAAGAUCAUCGAGUUUCCCGUGUUUUUUGAUUCAUGUUCAAAGUAAUUAUGUAUUUUAACUCUUUUUGCUCUGCCCAAGGCUAUAAGGAUAACUAAUUUGGGCGCAUGUAUUUCAAUUUCCUACUUAUUAUCAAUAAACGCAUUUUUGAAUUCUCCAACUAUUUUUCUUUUUUUCUUUUUUGGCAAUCUUUAUUCAUAUUUUUUUUCCUUUUUCUUCUUAAAUUUAAACCAUGCAGAGUCGAAAAUGAAUAUGUUGAAAAUAGCAGCGCUAGAACACUUCCUUGUAAUUUUGAACACCCAAUUAAUCACGCUGAUGAGGAUUGUGAAGACGAUUGUGAGCCUCCCCCAGAACUAGAAAGGUUAAUUGAACAUGAAGCUAAUGUUGGUGUUAAUGACCUCUAUCCUUAGGAAGUUUUAUACAAUAUUUUCAACUAGAUUAUCUAAUUCUUUCCUAAGUGAUGAACUUAAUAUCAAAACCAACUUGUUUAAUAUUAAUUCCAAUUUAACAGUAAAAGAUUCAAAAAUUUAUUCAAAACUAAGAUUCAAGAACACAUGCAUUAUCAAAAUAAAUAGUAUAGAGAUAGAAAAGUGUGCACCCUGGAUUUUUAUACUGGUUCGACUAUCAGUUUGAUAGUCUACGUCCAGUCCUGGAAUCACUCACCGAUUACAGCCUUUAUUAGAAAUGAUUUGAGUAUGUUUACAGACUUUCUAGCACCUCACUGGUUAUACAUCCAACUCAACAUCAAUCUUCUACAAAAACCAAUCUAUCCUUAAGAACUACUCGCCAAGCUCUAGCAAGAUCAGAUUGAGAUCUCUUUUAGAUGAUCACACACUCUAAAAGAUGAUCACCAGUUUCACAAUACUGGAUUUCCACACACUUUCUUUUACAAAGAUAAUUCUUGCAAAAAGACUAAAGAAAACUUGAUUCAAUCACUAAGAAGUCUCACACAAAAUAUUUGCCAAUAAUGUUUGUGUGUUAUAACAAUUUCUCUCAAAGUGUAUUAUUUGAAAAGUUCAGUUCUUUCUAUGUAUUCUGUUAUAUGUUUUGAGGAUUGUGACUGAUUCAGUUUAUAUAGUUUCAGAAAAACUUUAGACAAAUCGAUUUCCCAAUCGAUUUUAUUAAUGUGUAUUACUAGCUCAAUCGAUUUCCCAAUCGAUUUCGCGUUUCUUGUUUUUUUUUCAAUUCUUGAAACAGAUGAACUAAUCGACUUGCUAAUCGAUGUUUUUAAUGCAUAAAUUAGAAAUUGAUACUCAGUUCAUAAUAGAGUCGAUUGAGUAAUCGAUUUAUAGUUGUUUUGUUUUUAAAAUGUAAGAUCAAACAAUUGAUUACUCAGUCGAUUCAUGUUUACUAUCAUAACGAUUUGGCAAUGGGCUAAUGUCUCCCUGUAACUCAGAUACUCAAUCCAAUCGAUUUGCCAAUCGACUGAUGUCCUCCUGUAACUCAGUUAUUUAAUCAACUCGAUUUGCCAAUCGACUGAUUUCUUCCUAUAACUCAGUUAUUUAGUUACAAUUGAUGUGCCAAUCGAAUAUGUAGUAUGUCUCUGAUAAAUGAUAAACUGAUUCAUUUAUGCAAUCGAUUAUCCAAUCGAUUUCGUUUAAUCACAGAACACAGGUCUGUAUCAGCCUUUAAGUAAUCGAUUGCCCAAUCGAUUGACUUAGUUAAAGCUUGGUUCUAUGACUUAGAAAAUCGAUUGCCCAGUUGAUUUCCCAAUUGAUUGAUUUACAUACUUAUUUUAUGAUUUCAGUUUUUAAUUGGCAAAUAUUAGAUGUGUGAAAUCAUAAUGAUGAAUCUAACUAAUAAACACUAUUAACACUAGACACAUUUAUAUAUAAUCUUCAAGCCUUAUAUGAUAUGAUCAAUCUUUGCUUGAUUGCUUGAGAUCCAAGUUUUGUCCAGGUUUUGUCCAAGUGUAGUGUUUGAUUCUUUCAUGAAAUGUAUCUCAACUCAAACUAUUAGAUUAACCAGAUAAUGCAUAUACAUUGUAUGUUUGGGAGUUACAUCAAAAUCACAGAGGCAUAUAUCUUACAACAAAGAUAAUCCAACCCUAUCGAUUAUCCAAUCGAUUUCGUUUAAUCACAGAACACAGGUCUGUAUCAGCCUUUAAGUAAUCGAUUGCCCAAUCGAUUGACUUAGUUAAAGCUUGGUUCUAUGACUUAGAAAAUCGAUUGCCCAGUUGAUUUCCCAAUUGAUUGAUUUACAUACUUAUUUUAUGAUUUCAGUUUUUAAUUGGCAAAUAUUAGAUGUGUGAAAUCAUAAUGAUGAAUCUAACUAAUAAACACUAUUAACACUAGACACAUUUAUAUAUAAUCUUCAAGCCUUAUAUGAUAUGAUCAAUCUUUGCUUGAUUGCUUGAGAUCCAAGUUUUGUCCAGGUUUUGUCCAAGUGUAGUGUUUGAUUCUUUCAUGAAAUGUAUCUCAACUCAAACUAUUAGAUUAACCAGAUAAUGCAUAUACAUUGUAUGUUUGGGAGUUACAUCAAAAUCACAGAGGCAUAUAUCUUACAACAAAGAUAAUCCAACCCUAUCAAGAACCUUUUGAAGUGAUCAAUUUAGGGACUGAGCAUGAUAAGAAAGAAGUUAAAAUUGGCAUGUCUAUGAAAGAAAGUGAACGAGAAAAGCUGGUUAAACUUUUAUUUGAUUAUGUGGAUGUCUUUGCAUGGUCAUAUCAGGAUAUGCAUGGGCUAGACACUAACAUAGUUGAACACAAGCUACCACUCAAGCCUGAAUGUGCUCCAAUUAAGCAGAAAUUGAGGAGGAUGAGGCCUGAUAUGUCACUUAAAAUUAGAGAAGAAGUCAAGAAACACUUUGAUGCUGGUUUCUUAGCUGUGCCAAAAUAUCCUCAAUGGGUUGCUAACAUUGUUCCGGUUCCAAAGAAAGAUGGAAAAGUUCGAAUGUGUGUUGAUUAUCGGGAUUUAAAUAAAGCUAGGCCAAAAGAUGAUUUUCCUUUGCCUCACAUUGAUGUCCUAGUAGAUAGCACUGCUCAAUAUUCUCUUUUCUCCUUCAUGGAUGGUUUAUCAGGGUAUAAUCAAAUCAAGAUGGCUCCCGAAGACAUGGAGAAAACUACAUUCAUUACACAAUGGGGGACUUUCUAUUACAAAGUGAUGCCAUUUGGAUUGAAAAAUGUUGGCGCAACCUACCAAAGGGCAAUGGUAACUUUGUUUCAUGACAUGAUGCAUAAAGAAAUAGAGGUUUAAGUGGAUGAUAUGAUUGCAAAAUCUCAGACCGAAGAAGACCAUGUUGUUAACCUUCAAAAGUUAUUUGUGCGACUAAGGAAGUUCAAACUUCGUUUAAACCCUUCUAAAUGCACUUUUGGUGUAAGAUCAGGCAAGUUACUUGGGUUUAUCGUUAGCCAGAAAGGGAUAGAAGUGGAUCUAGAUAAAGUAAGAGCAAUAUAAGAAAUGCCCGCUCCGCGCACGGAAAAAGAAGUUUGUGGCUUUUUAGGCAGAUUGAAUUACAUUGCCAGGUUCAUAUCGCAUCUCACCGCUACAUGCGAGCCAAUUUUCAAGUUGUUGCGCAAAGACCAAAAGGUUGAAUGGAAUGAGAUUUGUCAAAAAGCUUUCGAAAGGAUUAAGCAAUACUUGUCAAAACCUCAAAUAUUAGUGCCUCCAGUUCCGGGAAAACCACUUAUUAUGUACUUAACAAUACUUGAUGAGUCAAUGGGUUGUGUACUGGGGCAUCAUGACGAAUCUGGUAAGAAAGAACAUGCUAUUUAUUAUUUGAGUAAAAAGUUCACCAGCUGUGAAACAAGGUAUUCACUGCUUGAACGAACAUGUUGCGCAUUAGCAUGGGCUGCUCAUCGGUUGAGGCAAUACAUGUUAUGUCAUACAACUUGGUUGGUGUCUAAAAUGGACCCAAUUAAAUACAUCUUUGAGAAACCUGCUCUUACUGGAAGGAUCGCCCGUUGGCAGAUGUUGUUAUCAGAAUACAAUUUGGUAUAUGUUACACAAAAAUCUAUCAAAGGAAGCGCACUAGCAGAGUACUUAGCCCAUCAACCGGUAGAAGAUUAUCAAUCAAUGCAGUGUGAAUUCCCCGAUGAAGACAUAAUGAAUUUAGUUGAAGAGAUUGAAUCAUCUGAUAAAGAAAAGUGGAGGUUGGUGUUUGAUGGUGCUUCUAAUGCGUUAGGGCAUGGAAUUGGAGCCAUUUUGAUUUCUCCAGAAAACCAGUUCACUCCAUUUACGGCUAGGUUGUGUUUUGAUUGUACAAACAAUAUUGCUGAAUAUGAAGCAUGUGUUAUGGGCAUUAAAGCGGCUAUUGAAUCAAAUGUAAAAUUUCUUGAGGUAUAUGGAGACUCAUUGUUGGUCAUCCAUCAGACGAAAGGAGAUUGGGAAACGCGAGAUUCUAAAUUGAUUCCGUAUCACACCCAUAUCAAAGAAUUGACAGAACAAUUUGAGAAGAUUACUUUUCACCAUAUCCCUCGAGAAGAAAACCAGUUAGCUGACGCCUUGGCCACUUUGUCGUCAAUGUUCAAAAUAACCACUAAUCAAGACGUGCCGGUCAUAAAGAUUCAACAAAGAGAUAAACCUGCAUAUUGCUUAUCAAUAGAAGAAGAGUUGGAUGGCAAGCCGUGGUUUUAUGACAUCAAAUCAUAUGUUAAGAAUAAGGAAUAUCCAUUGGGUAUUUCAGAGAACGACAAAAGGGUUUUAAGGAGAUUGUCAAUGAAUUUCUUCUUGAAUGGUGAUGUGCUUUAUAAGAGAAAUCAUGAUAUGGUUCUCCUCAGAUGUGUGGAUAAAGCAGAAGCGGGGAAAAUUAUCCAAGAGGUUCACGAAGGUUCUUUCGGAACUCAUGCAAAUGGGCACACAAUGGCUAGAAAAAUCUUAAGGGCUGGCUACUACUGGUUGACCAUGGAAUCCGACUGCUUUAGUCACGUAAAGAAAUGUCACAAAUGUCAAAUCUAUGCUGAUAAAAUACAUGUACCACCCACUUCUUUGAAUGUUUUAACAUCACCAUGGCCAUUUUCAAUGUGGGGAAUGGAUGUUAUUGGACUCAUCGAGCCUAAGGCUUCAAAUGGACACCGGUUUAUCCUAGUAGCUAUUGAUUAUUUCAAUAAGCCAACACAUUGCUUAUCGAUAGAAGAAGAGCUUGAUAGCAAACCAUGGUUUUAUGAUAUCAAAUCCUAUGUUAAGAAUAGGGAAUAUCCAUCGGGUAUUUCAGAGAACGACAAGAGUGUUUUGAGGAGGUUGUCAAUGAACUUCUUCUUAAAUGGUGAUGUUCUUUAUAAGAGGAAUCAUGAUAUGGUUCUCCUCAUAUGUGUGGAUAAAGCAGAAGCAAAAAAGAUCAUUCAAGAGGUUCAGGAAGGUUCUUUUGGAACUCAUGCAAAUGGACACGCAAUGGCAAAAAAAAUCUGUAGGGUUGGCUAUUAUUGGUUGACUAUGGAAUCUGAUUGCUUUAGUUACGUAAAGAAAUGUCAUAAAUGUCAAAUAUAUGCUGAUAAAAUACAUGUACCGCCCACCUCUUUGAAUAUUUUAACAUCACCAUGGCCAUUUUUAAUGUGGGGAAUGGAUGUUAUUGGACUCAUCGAACCAAAGGCUUCCAACGGUCACCGGUUUAUCUUGGUAGCUAUUGAUUAUUUCACAAAAUGGGUUGAAGCCGCUUCUUAUGCCAAUGUGACGAGAAGUGUGGUUGUCAAAUUCAUCAAAAGAGAAUUGAUUUGUCGAUAUGGCUUACCAAAUAAGAUAAUCACUGACAAUGCGACCAAUCUAAAUAAUAAAAUGAUGAAGGAGUUGUGUGAUAGUUUUAAAAUUCAGCACCACAAUUCAUCGCCAUAUUGUCCAAAAAUGAAUGGGGAUGUAGAAGCGGAAAAUAAGAAUAUCAAGAAAAUCAUACAAAAGAUGGUGGAGACAUAUAAGGAUUGGCAUGAAAUGCUCCCCUUUGCAUUACAUGGCUAUAGAACCUCUGUUCGUACCUCAACAGGGGCAACUCCUUUCUCAUUGGUGUAUGGAAUGGAAGCGAUACUUCUCAUUGAAGUUGAAAUUCCCUCGAUCAGAGUCUUGAUGGAAACAAAACUGGAAGAGGCUGAGUGGGUUCAAUCACGAUUUGACCAACUAAAUCUCAUAGAAGAAAAAAGAAUGAUAGCUCUUUGUCACGGCCAGCUAUAUCAAAAAAGACUUAAAAAGGCAUUCGAGAAAAAAGUUCGUCCUCGAGAGUUUCAAGAAGGGGACUUAGUGUUAAAGAAAAUAUUGCCCAUAAAAAAAGAUGCUCGUGGAAAAUGGACCCCGAAUUACGAAGGACCAUAUGUUGUGAAAAAAGCUUUUUCUGGGGGAGCUCUAAUACUCGCAGAAAUGGAUGGAGAUGACCUUCCACUUCUAGUAAAUUCAGAUGCAGUCAAAAAAUAUUAUGCUUAAAAAAGGUGAUGAGCUCGCUAGGUUGAAAACCAGAAAAGGCGACCUAGGGAAAAAUUAUAGCAUCCCGAUGGAUUGGAAACUUGGAAGAGUAGACCAUGCAAAAGUUAGGGAUAAAAAAAAUCAAGCACUUCAAACUGGGGCAAUUAUUAUUCUUGGAAGCUGUUUAUUAGGAUUCCUAAAUUACAAGAAUGACUAGCGUUUGUUAUGUCUCCACUUAAAUUAAACAUACUCGUCCCCACAUUGUAACCCCUGCCUCAAAUGUUUUGCUUUUAAUGUAACGAAUGUACAUUUUCUAAUAUUGUCAUUCGAUGUUGUACGUUACACUCUUUAUAUACCAAUCAAGUUUCAUUAUUGAGUGUUCUAUUGUUUCAAAAUUUUGUUUUAUAAUAAUAAAUGUUGGAAUUUGAAAUAUGUGAAAAUAUAAAAAUAUUUUAAAUAUUUUGACACUAGAAAAAUAUAUACACAGGAACUCGUUUGAUUCUCUAGAUAUAUGAGUGUGUGAAAAAUAAUAAGGAGGGUAAUCAUUUUAAACAAUAGAUUUUGCUUCGCCUCGAAAAAGCGGUCACACGAGACAUACUGGAGUCGUCAUGCAAAAAAUGGUUGUUAUCUUCAUCCAUUGAAUCUUGGGAUGGAGAAGAGCAUAAAGAUCGGGGAAUCAAAGAAAAGAACAAAAAUUUAUCUAUAAUGCAUGACACAUAAACCUUACAUAAUUUACUCAUACUCACAUGAUCCAUGCAUUUUCAUUGACACUUUACCUAUACUCGGUGCAUAACACACGAAUCAUUCAUAGCUUAUCGUUCGAAUUGCAAGUAUCAUAUACUUAUUCUCCCUCUUUACCUACCUUCAAGAUUGGAACUAUUAUGUUCAUGUUGAUCUACGCAUCGGAAAACAAUCUGAAGACGAUCACUUUCAUUUCUAUAGAUCUACGCAUCGGUAACCAAUCCGAAGACGAUCACUUUCAUUUCUAUAGAUCUACGCAUCGGUAACCAAUCCGAAGACGAUCAUUUUUCAUUUCUAUAGAUCUACGCAUCGGUAACCAAUCCGAAGACGAUCAUUUUUAAUUUCUAUAGAUCCACACAUCGGUAACCAAUCCGAAGACGAUCACUUUCAUUUCUAUAGAUCUACGUAUCGGUAACCAAUCCGAAGACGAUCAUUUUUAAUUUCUAUAGAUCAACACAUCGGUAACCAAUCUAAAGACGAUCAUUUUUAAUUUCUAUAGAUCCACACAUCGGUAACCAAUCCGAACACGAUCACUUUCAUUUCUAUAGAUCUACGCAUCGGUAAACAAUCCGAAGACGAUCACUUUCAUUUCUAUAGAUCUACGCAUCGGUAACCAAUCCGAAGACGAUCAUUUUUAAUUUCUAUAGAUCCACACAUCGGUAACCAAUCUGAAGACGAUCACUUUCAUUUCUAUAGAUCUAUGCAUCGGCAACCAAUACGAAGACGAUCACCUUCAUUUCUGUCGAUCUACGCAUCGGUAACCAAUCCGAAGCAAUCAUCUUUAUUUCUGUCGAUCUACCCAUCGAUAAUUAAUCCAAAGAUGAUUAUUCUGCAUAUCUAAAAAAUUUGCAUCAUUCUCACUUUAACAUUUCAAAUGCACUUUAAUACAUGUGUUUGUUAUUGGACAAAAUUUAGGUCCUUAUAUUUACUUAUCUUUUACGUGAUAACAUGAAAACGAAUACCAUUGUUAUUCAUAUUUUCAUAUUUUUCAAGUAAAAUAAAAUUAAAUAGGGGCAGUUGUAGUACCCCAAUUUUGUCCAUUUUGNNNNNNNNNNAAUAUAUAUUAAAAAGGGAAAUAAAAUAAUUACAAUGAUUAGGCUCAUCAAUUUACAAUACCAAAUCAGUUUACAAUUACAAUUCUAAAAUUAAAUCAAAUUACAAUUUCAUAUUACAAUCAAAUUGCAACCAAAAAUAAAACCAAAUUAAAUUACAAUAAAAUUAGGUUAAACUUUUUCAAAUUAAGCCAGCCUGCUUUGGCUCAGUUUUGUUGUUGAUCCUGCCUUUCUGUUCGUGAUGCAGUGUCAUGGUUGAUGCACAAGCCAUGCUCAUUGAUACAUACCUGUUGUAACUAAUUAGAGAAACUGAAAACCAUUUUUUUUUACCAGUCAGACUCAGUAUACAUGAUAAAAACCAAAUGACAAAGUUUUGAGUUUAAAAAAAAGAAACUAAGGGACAAAUGAAAAAGGUAAGCAAACAAUCAGAUAAAACAAAUAAAAGCUAAAAUCGUGAAUAGAUCAGAGGUGCGGAAAAAUACAGAUUAUGAGCAAAUAAUUUAAACAUCAAACAAGAAAUUGAUGGAGAAGGACAAAGGCAGGCAAGAAAGCAACUAAACAGAUCAAAAACUCUAUAAAAACACCUUAUCAAUUUCAAAAAAGGGGGAUAUGAGAUUAACUCUACUAAAAAAAAAUACACUUACAAAGAAGGAAAGAGGAAAUAAAUCAGAAGCAGUUUUUAGUAACAAACAACAAAUACGAAAUAUUAAGGUAUUUUUUUCUUCCUGUACAAUAUAUAUCUUGCUAUUUAUCAUCAUCAUCAACAUUACUCUUUUAUUUAAAAAAUGUAAACUUUUUUUUAUUUUAAUGAACGAAAACAAUUAAAAAUCUGAACCUGAUGUUGUCUUCUUCGUUGUUGCCAUUGUCGUCGUCGGCACCGUCACCAUCGCCGAGGUCGUCGUCGCCGUUGGCGCUAAGGCCGUCGUUGGUGUAAAGGUCGUCGUUGGCGUUGUGUCCGCCGUCACUAUUUCCUUGUUCCUCUUCAUUUUCCUUUUGUUCGAUUGAUGCAUCCAUCCAUAUUUUCUCUUCUAUUUUCAAAACAGAGAAUGGAACAAGGAAGAAGAAAAGGUUUCUUGUUUGUUUGUUUCCUGUUUCCCGAGCGGCUGCCUCCCCUCUCUAACUAGGGUUUCUUGUUAGUUUGUUUUGGACCUUUUUUUUAAGUUAGUUUGGGCUUGGAUUUUAAACAAAAAAGCAAUAAUUUGUUCAAACUCAGCCCAUUUAAAACUAUUUAUUUUAUUUUAUUUUAUUUUUUACAAAAAUGGUUAAUUUUCUUUCAUAACUAAAUACCAAUUUCAUCAUAAAAAAUGCAAAUAAACAUUAUAUUAAAGAUUAAUUAAAUGUGAACUCUUUUUAAUCUUUGAGUUGUUAGGACAUAAGUGGUACAACUUGAUAGUUCUAAAACUCUCUUUAUUUCAUUAUUUAUUUAUUUUAUUUACUUUAUUCUAUUCUAUUUAUUUAUUCAUUCAUUUAUUUAUUUUAAUGAACUAAUUUAAAAUCGACUUAUUUAUUAGAUGUAACUCUUUUUAAUUUUUGAGUUGUUAGGACACAAGUGGUACAAUUUGAUAGUUCUAAAACUCUCUUUAUCUUAUUUAUUUAUUUAGUUAUUUUAUUGUAUUUGUUUAUUGGUCAAACAUGGGCACGGUAAAACUAGUUCUGACCAUUGUGUAUUGGUCAAGAAAUUCUCUGAUGGUGAUUAUAUUAUUCUCUUGUUAUAUGUGGAUGACAUGUUGAUUGUUGGUCAUGAUGCUAAGAAGAUUCAAUCUUUAAAGAAAGAUUUGAACAAGUCUAUUGCAAUGAAAGGUUUGGGUCCUACAAAGAAAAUUUUGGGCAUGAGAGUUAUUCGUGACAGGAAGAAUAAUAAAUUGUGGUUGUCUCAACACAAUUACAUUGAGAAAGUUUUAGAGAGAUUCAACAUGAGCAAUGGCGGACCUGUUAGUACUCCACUUGCUACUCGUUUUAAAUUCAAUUCUGAUCAAUAUCCUACGAGUGAGAAAGACAAAGAAGAGAUGAAGAAGGUUCCUUAUGCAUCCGCAAUUGGUAGUUUGAUGUAUGUUAUGUAUGCACAAGGCCAGAUAUUGCUCAUGCAGUUGGAGUUGUUAAUCAAUUUCUCUCUAAUUCUGGUAAAGAUAAUUGGCAAGUAGUGAAGUGGAUUCUCAGAUACCUCAUAAGCACUUCUAAAGUGUGUUUAUACUAUGGAGGUGGUGAACCUGUGUUGGAUGGCUACACAGAUGCAUAUAUGGCAGGUGAUCUUGAUUCUAGAAAAUCUACUUCUGGUUUUAUGAUGAUGUUUGCAGGGGGAGUUGUGUCUUGGCAAUCAAGAUUACAAAAGUGCGUUGCUUUAUUCACUACUGAAGCUGAGUAUAUUGCAGCGACUGAAGCUUCCAAAGAACUCUUGUGGAUGAAGAAAUUCCUACAUGAGUUAGGCCUCAAGCUAGGCAAGUUUGUGUUAUUCUAUGACAGUCAGAGUGUGAUCCAUCUCAGCCAGAAUCCGUCUUUUCAUGCAAAGUUGAAGCAUAUUGAAGUGUGGUAUCAUUGGAUACGAGAUGCACUGGAAAUAAAGUCAUUUUUAAUUGAGAAGAUUCAUACUGAUGAUAAUGGUUCAAAUAUGAUGACGAAGACCUUGUCUAUGUCGAAGAUGAUAUAUUGUAGAAAGAAAGCCGACAUAGUUAAGCAGUACCUUCCACCUUGAGUCGUUAGGGGGAGAUUUCUUGGGUGGGCUCACUUCCCAAGUGGAACCCACCAAUUUUAUUAAUAUUAUUAGUAUUAUUGAAAAAAAAAAUGAAAAAAAUAAAAUUUAAUGAGCUUGGUCCAUGUGAAGGAAAUAAAAGGGAUUUAGAAAUCCCUAAGAAGCAUGAAUGAGAACAGUGUCGAAAAAGCAAAGGAAAAGUAGAACGGUAGCCAGAGAAGAAAAAGAAAGGUUUGGUUCUAGUGGUGGUAACAUGUGUGUAAUAAACUUGCUCCGUUCGAUCUACAAUUUUGAUAGGUUAUUUCUACCACUGAGUUUGUUAUUUUAAUAUAAAGUCUGAGUAGUUUUAUCUUCUUUGAGAGUUACUUUGGCAUACCCACUUUAGUGGAAGGUUGUUAUUGUUGAUUGAUGUUCUCUAUUGUUAUUAGGAAGACUAUGGUAUACCCAUUAAUUAUUAUAGUGAAAGUUUUUAUUGGACUAGGUCCCGUGGUUUUUUUUUCUCUCAAUUUGAGGGAAGUUUUCCACGUUAAAAAUUGUGUUUGUCUCAUAUUUAAUUUUCUGCCAAUUAUUUUUGCUAUGUGGAAUUAUAUUUUCUAUUUGGCCAUUUAUCUGCACAGGUGGGGGAAAAAAUAUUCCGCAUUAUUGAGAUAGUUAUCGCUAAUUAUCUCUGAUUUUCUUAACAAUGUUAGUGUUAUAGUUGUAUAGAAUAUUAUUUUUUGUAUAUUUUGAUGACAAAGUAAAUGAUUAUAGAUUAAUAUCAAAUUUAUAUAUAUGAUUUGUAUGAUAGUAGCUUUCAAUUCAGCGGCUGAUAUAAAAAAAUAGUUAUUUGAUACGAUAUUAUUGAAUGAGUGUAAAUUUUAGUAUAACUCUUUUGAUAUAAUAUUAGAUCAAUUUUACACCACUCAAUACCGUUUUAUUGGAUACAUAUUAUAUAAACUUAACUAUUAAAUUGAAAAUUUAUAUCAUAUAGAUCAUCUUCAUAAAUUCUUAUAAAAAUUUAAAAUCAUUUAAUAAUUUACGAAGGAGCUCAAAAUUAACGUCAUACAAUAAAAUUGUUCAAGACAAUUUUGGCAUACUUCAAUUACAUAUCAAAUUAAUAACUGUGGAUUUAUGUAAAAAUUUAUAGAAAACUAUUUAUAUAAUAUAAUUUUUUAAUCUUACAGUUAAAUUUGUAAAACCUAUAUCAAAAUAAAAUAUUAUUGAUAAAUAAUUGCAAGCAUUCUUUGCCUUUUAGAAGAACGAUUUUGAUGAUACUACAAAUUCUUUGAAUAUUUACUGUCAAUGAUUAUGAUGUUUAUGUGCAUAAUUUUAACACGUCUUUAUGUGAUUUUUAUUUUUUCUUAUUUUUGUUUGAUGUUUUCCAUCAAAAGUAAUACAUCACAUUUUUUAUAUAUUAAUUUUGCUAACGGAGAACAAUGGGCAUUAUUUUCUCAUUUAUGUUAUAUUUUCUCUUGAGGUUGUUAGAUUUGUUAGACAAUGUUAUUAUAUAUUAGUAGUAAGGAUAUUUUAGACAUUUAUGUUCUUUUAUAUAUAUACUCAUUGUAACCCUAUUAACUGAAGUUUGGUUCAUUCUAUGUUAUGAAACCCUAGAGUGGUUGUCUUUUUUCUUCCUCUUUUCAUUAUUAACAUGGUAUCAAAGAGCUCUGGUUGAUUUUUGGAUCUACUAUAAAUAAGAGAGAGAUUAUUUUGAUAGGAAAGAAAACCACCAAAAGAGAAAAGAGAAGAGUAACCCUAUUUCCGAUUUUGUUAAAUUAGUCUCACAAAAACAUCGAUUGCACAUUCGUUAACCGUUGGAUCAGGCUGAUUUUUGGACAGCAGGUUCGCAACAAUCAGGUCUUUGUCUUCAAUUGUCGGAUUAGCGAAACCUGAUUGUUUUCUUCCUCUUUUCAACUGUCGCACAGCACCAGAUUAUCCAUAAUUUAUUUUGUCUCAGUGAUUGUGUUUGUCAUAUUUUCCUGUUAUUAUUUGUUAUGGUUGGUGCUAAGGAUGAUUCUCUUCACGCACAUUGGAAAACACAUUGUCCGAAAUUGGGGAGAGAAGAAUUUUAGGGGGCCAUCGUCCAAUGUUGUUGCUUCUUCUCCUUCUACCAUUGGCUCUAGUUCUGGUUUUGUAUACUCAUCUGAGAUUGCUUCCCAAAUAUCUGAUAUUGCAGAACAACUUCAAAAAAUUAUUGCCACUCAAUCACAUGCCAUGUCUGCUACCUCUUCUAAAGGUUUGAACUUCUCUGGUAUGUCAGAUAUAUCUCCUUCCAUAUGGAUUCUUGAUUCAGGAGCAUCUCAUCAUAUGACAUACGAUGAUAAAUCUUUUGUGUCUGUGAAACUUGUCUCGUCUGUGUCGGUUAUGACUGCUGAUGGCACUCCUAAGCCACUAGCAGGCGUUGGUUUUUUCUCCACAUAUAACAUGUCUCUUUCUGAUGUUUGUUUGUUAUGAUCAGUAUUAAGGAGUUGAUUUUGGUUUGGUUCACAUGCUUUCAAUUGUUGUGGUUCUUUGCUGAUUUGGUUGGUAAUUUAAUUGUUCGUCUCUCCUAUCUCUUCUGUUGCUUUCUUCUGUGUUGUCGCUCUCUCUGUUUCUUCUUCUGUUUGAUUGCUCCUCUCUCUAGUGAUUUGCUUUGUUGCUUCUCUCCAUAUUGAUUGUUCUAUUUGUUUGCUCUUCUCUCAUUUGGUUCAUCUAUUUGAUUGCUUCUCUCUUUGUUUAGUUUGAUUUGGUGUAGUUUAGUUUGGUUUGAUUUAGUUUGGUUUGAUAUGAUUUAGUUUUGUUUGGUUCUUUUUUGUUUGGUUUGUUUUGAUUUGGCUUCGUGCUGCUACUUCUUUGGUUGUUUCAAUAUUAGGAAAUUUUAAGGGAGAUGUUAAGUAGUAUGUUAUUGGGCUUUUAUAUUAUAUAUUAAAGGUUUGUUUUGAUAUGGUUGUUGCUCCUUUUUUUUAUCGCUCCUUUUUCGAUUUGAUUUUUUGUUGGCUUGGUUCUUCUCUUUGAUUGUUGCUUCUUCUUUGGUGACAUCCCUCUUGUCCCCCAACUGUCCAACCAUCUCUUGCGAUUGUUGAUCCUCCUCGUUACCCCUUUCGUCAACUUUGUCUGAACCCUCUUCCAAUAAAGAGGUUGUUCUUGAUCCUCUUUGGCAGCAGGCUAUGGCAGAAGAACUAUCUGCAUUGCACAAAAUCAAUACUUGGGAAUUAGUACCUCUUCCUCCUGGAAAACGUGCUAUUGGGUCUCGUUGGGUAUACAAGAUCAAAACUCGUCAUCAUGUUCAUCAUGGAACCAUUACUCUACCGUUUGUCUCUUCUUCUUUACGGAUUGUUGAUUUGUUCAAGAUGCAUUCCAUUAAACGUUUUCAUUUUUUAGUUGACAAACUCUCGAUGCUCCAUGUUAAUGCAUCGUGAGUUUGAGGGGAGAUGUUAGAUAAUGUUAUUAUAUAUUAGUAGUAAAGAUAUUUUAUACAAUUAUGUUCUUUUAUAUAUACUCAUUGUAACCCUAUUAACUGAAGUUUGAUUCAUUUUAUGUUAUGAAACCCUAAAGUGGUUGUCUUUUUUUUUUUCUUUUUAUUGUUAACAAGAUUUAUUUUAUCAAUUAGGCUAGUACAAGUUCUAAAGCAUGUAAUAAAAUGUGUUGACUAAAAACCAGAUCAAACAUCAAAGCAUUAAUUGAGUCAACAAAAGUAAAUAAAUAAAUAAAACAGUUGUGUAGCUUGACAGAGUCGGUUGACAAUUAGUUUGUUAAAACUUUAGAUCCACUUUUGAUUUACUUUAAUAUUUAAAAUAUGCUAAUGUGGCAUGAUGGUUUGGCUUUUUUAAUAUUUUUUAAAUUAAAAACAUCAAAGUUUUAUGAAAUGAUGAAGGAAAAAAAUUAAAAUCAUUCUCAUUAUCUUCAAGAAAAACAAAUGUCGAAUUUUUUUUCUCACAUAUCCACUUCUCCCAUAUAUGCCUUAGCAUACAAAUCUCUAAAACGCAAUAGAAAAAAUUCACUCUCGAUCUAAAAUAUAUUCAAAACAAAAAUAAAAUCAACAUAUACAAAAUUUCACAUUUCUAUUAUUUCGAUUUGUCCGAACAAGUUUUUUAGAUUUUGUUUUUAAUUUUUUUUUUUACUUUUUAUUUUUAUAAAUUUCAAGAUUUGUUUAUGAUUUUGAGUUUCUUUAAAUCUGUUGGAUCUAAGGAGCAUGUUGUUGUAGUUGUUUUUCUAAAAGAUGUUGUUGUUGGAUCUAUUAAAUAUGCUUGGAUAUGAAGUAAAUAGUGGAAGAAGAUUGCGUUGCUCGGUUUCAUCUUCUUCAAAAUGAUGAAUAAUUGAUUUAUUUAUUUUUUCUUUCAUUCGACAAUUUUAAUGUAUUUACUUCAUAAAAUAAUGAAAAUCAAAUCAUGAUGCCACAUAUACACUAAAAUUGAAUUCAGCCUAUAUUGCAGAAACCAAAAUAAAAAUUAACCCAAAUAUAAGUCACUGAUCGGAUACAUAACUAUAUGAAAUAUGCAUUUUUUUUUUAUUACAAUAUUUAAUUGUUACCUUGAAAAUAAUAACUACAUACAAACUUUUAUGUUUAAUCAUAACUACUUUUUUUAGUAGCAUCACAUGCACGUUUUCAAAUUACUUUUUACCUUAUAAAAUUUAACCAUAAAAAUUCAGCAUAACUAAGUCAUGCAUAGAUAGAUAUUUUACAUAAAAAUUGAUAAAAUAUAUAUCAAAUAAAAUAUUAAUUAGUGGUGCAAUAUUAUAUAAGUAAAAUCUAUCCCUCAUGAUUUAUUUGAGUUUAUUUUCAAUUUUGUAUUUCUAUUUUAGAAAAUUAAUUUGAUUUGGUGAUCUUGAAUUGUUACCAGUUUUGUAGUAGUUUUAUAAAAGUAUCUUUAAGAUUGAAUUUGUUUGUUAGUCGAUUCUAAUUUGCUAAUUAUUUUAAUUUUUUUUAAGAUAAAUCAUCUUUCUUGGAGAACAAUGAUGUGGAUUAAAGUACAUACUGUCGCGGCCUAAAAUUUCGAGUGUUUCUCGAAUUCAAUGAAGUCGCCACCAAAAUUUAUUUUAAAAUAGGGAAAAUAUUGGUAAACCCUUAAAAAAAUAAAAAUAAAAGAAAAUGGUCUUUGAAACCAAAUUUUGAGUUCGGGAGCCAAUUAUGCGUAGGGAAGGUAUUAGCACCCUACGACAUCCGUUAAAAACGGUUACCCAUAAUUAAUUGUGCAAUAUUAAUUUUAACUUAAGUAUAUUUAUUUUUCUUUAUUAUUAAAUAUGAAUAACAAUUAUUACUAUUUUUAAAAUAUGAUUUUAAAAUAAAUAUGUACUUAACAAAUAAAGGACAAAAGAAGAAAUUUUUAUUUAUGUGCUUGACAAGAAUGUGAUCUUGCUCCUACGUAUCUCCCAGUGCGAUGGAGAAAUCAAAGCUACGUAGUUCUUGAUUAAAAAACAAACGGAUGUGUUGAGUGUGUUUUAAAGAAAAAUUAUUUUGUGAUAAAAAAAAGUUUUGACAAAAAUAGAAUAAAUAAAUAAAUAAAUAAAUAAAAUAAAAGAGUUUGAUUUGAGAUGAAUACUUUAAAAUAUGAGUUUUAAGACGAUCAAGUUGUACAACUCGUGUCCUAAAACUCAAGGAAUAUAGAAGAUGUCACAUCUAAUUUAAUCCUCUAAAAAAUAUUUUAUUAUUCUCGAUUUUAAAAUUGAGUUUCAAAACCACCAAGUAGUACAACUUGUGUUUUAACAACUCAGAGAUAAAAAAGAGUUACAUCUAAUAAAUAGGUCGAUUUUAGAUUAGUUNNNNNNNNNNNNNNNNNNNNNNNNNNNNNNNNNNNNNNNNNNNNNNNNNNNNNNNNNNNNNNNNNNNNNNNNNNNNNNNNNNNNNNNNNNNNNNNNNNNNNNNNNNNNNNNNNNNNNNNNNNNNNNNNNNNNNNNNNNNNNNNNNNNNNNNNNNNNNNNNNNNNNNNNNNNNNNNNNNNNNNNNNNNNNNNNNNNNNNNNNNNNNNNNNNNNNNNNNNNNNNNNNNNNNNNNNNNNNNNNNNNNNNNNNNNNNNNNNNNNNNNNNNNNNNNNNNNNNNNNNNNNNNNNNNNNNNNNNNNNNNNNNNNNNNNNNNNNNNNNNNNNNNNNNNNNNNNNAAGUAUAGAGAGCAACCAAGAAAGAAGUAGAGAGAUAACAGGAAUAUACCGAGAGGCCGCGAGAAAGGCAAGAGGCCGCGAGAAAGGCGAGAGGCCGCGAGAAAGGGAAGAGACCAAGGAAGCCGCGAGGAGAAAACCGGAAUGAGGAUGGUGCGGUCGCUCCAAAAGCACCGGUUCCAACGACGAUGGUGACGAUAUGAAGGUUUGGGUUUUCUCCUUUUGUCUUUCUUUGUGUGUUUUUAAUGGUGUUAAUCUCCGGUCCCUCUUUUGUGUGCGUGUGUGUUUUUUUUCACCCCCCCUCUUUGUAAAAAAAACAGAUGUAUUUAUAGAGUUUUUUUAUCUGAUUAGUUGUUUUCUUGGCUGUGUCUCUGUUCUAUCUAUUUCCUGUUUGAUGUUUUUUUUCCUUUGCUCAUCAUCUGCGUUUUUUCUACACCUCUGAUGCAUUCAUGAUUUUGAUUUACUUGCUUUGAUAUGUUCUGUUGCUGAGCUUUAAUUUGUCCCUUAGUUUAUUUUUUAAACUCAAAACUUUGUCUCUUUGUUUUGCACAAAGUGUACCAAGACUGACUUAAAAAAAAAAUGUUUUUAUGCUUCUCUAAUUAGUUACAAAGCAAAGGUCAAUGACACUGCAUCUGAAACAGAAAGGCAGCAACAAAAAAGAGCCAAACACUGCAUCAGAAAGUCAACAUAGCAAGGCUGGCUUGAUCUGAUUUAAAUUUUAUUGUAAUUUAUUUUUGCCUUUAUUUUAGUUUGUAAUUUGAUUUGGUUUUAAAACUCUAAUUAGAUAAAAAUGUAAAUUUAUGAUACAUAAUAAAAUUAUUUAUUGCAAUUAUUUUUAUUUCCUUUUUUAAAUACAUAUUUCUUUUUUUGAUUUAUUUUUAACCUAAAUGGACAAAAUUGAGGUACUACACAUACGAAAGCAGCGCGUCUGAUGUAGAUUUUGCAUCCUCCACUUCAUUUUAAUUUAUCGGAAAAAAACGAUAUUUGCUUUCAUUUUUUAUUGGAGAAUAAAAUUUGAGUCUUCAUUUUCAAUUUGACUGAGUAGAUUUUUCAUGUACUACAUCUGUUCAUAUAUAUAAAAUGAUAAUUUUAAAUGUCAUAUUUGUUAUAAUUUAUAUAAUAAAAUAAUUAUUAUAAGAAAAGAUAAAAUAAAAAUUAUUAAAAUUAGAGAGGAGAUUAAAAUUUAUAAUACAUAAAAAAUAUUAAAUAAUAUGAAUAGGUACACGUAUAUAAAAAUUUUAAAAGACCAAUAAUUUUACUAGUAGAGCGUGUUUGGGGGUGGGACAGAUAUCAACACUACUGAUAUUGUCCUUUACCUUUGCACCCGCAUCCCAUUAAAAAUGAUUUUUUCCCGUCAAUGUAGGGACAAGUUAGAGUGAGUACCCAUAUGUUCAGGUUGUGUUGUCAUGUGUAUUGAUUUACCAAGUGAUUUCUUCUAUAAAGUAGCAAAUGAAACGAGAAAAUAAAUAAAUAAACAUGAGUUAGGUCUAAAAGAUCGACAAGUCAAAAGGAAAUUACCACAAUGACAAAAAAAAAAAAAAAAAACCAUUGAUAAGACUAAAAAAAGUUUUAAUCCAAAAACUCAAAGAUGAAAAACAUCUACCUCACUAUUUUCAUUUUCAUUAGAGAACAUUUUAAUUCAUUUCAAAUUAAGAUGGAAAAUGAUACUCUUACAAGGGUAUUUAAAGAAAGACUUAUUUGUUCCAAAAAUAGGCCAUUAGCCCAAUUUUGUAGCCUCAUAUUAGGCUUACUCCACUUAAUUAAGAAUAAAACCAAAAUUAUUACAAUUCAAAUUAAAUACUAGUAAAACUAAAUUAUUAUAAAAUAUUGACUUGAAAUAUUUUUUCUUCCUAAUUAACUCCUUUUAAGUAUUUAUCAUUUUCUUUUUCUUAAAGGAAAUUUGAUCUCAAUUUAGUUUCAUCGUAACCUAUAUGAUGAAAAACACAAGGCAAAACCAUGAAGAACAAUAUCAACCAUUCGACUGAAGUCAAAUGAAAAUUGAGAAAAGUCACAAAUGUGCUAACGUUGUGAAACACACUUCCCUAAUGUACAAUUAACAUACCACCACAUUUGUAGCCAAGGUUAGAUAUUUAAAAGGUGAACAAAAAUUAUACCUUAUGUAGUUAAUAUGUAUGACUCAACAUACCUUCUUUCCCGACUUGAAGUUGUAGACAAAAGAACAUUAACGUUCUUUUUGACAAGGAUCGAAGAGAAAUUGUGUCACAUUGAUAUUCUUCUCAACACAAAUAAAAGAUAAUUCUUUUUUAUUCAAAUUGAGUCCCUUAAAUACAUUAGAAGUAUCGUAUCAAACUUUAAAGAAUUUGCAAUAAUGGAUCGAAAGAGUGAGAACGGAUAUAGGAUUGGAUCCAUCAAAUGAAUAUUAUACAUGCAAUCUUUUGGUACUUCUAGCAAACCUCAAUAUGCUAACUUAGGAAAAAAAUAAUAAGUAUUCAAGGUUGCAAACAAACUAUCUUUAAGAAACUCAACAUAUUCUUUUAAAAAAUUGUUAUGAACCAAGUUAACACUAGAAGGCACAACAACACAUUUAUCAAGAAAAUCUUUCAAAUAUUGAUUCAUAAUUAUCAAAUCAAACUUAGAAGAGUAGUACGGAUUAAAUACAUUAUGCUUCAUAAUUUCAAAAGAACCAAAACAAAAGUCCAAAUCAAAUAAUCCAAACACAAUGCAACAACUCUACAAAAAUUAUCAACACAAGAGUAUCAAGAACGAAAAUUGAAAACAAAACUAAGAAAAUUUAAAAUGACAAGUAAGAAAAAUUAUACAAAGGGAACAUGCUUAAAUAGAUUAUCAAAGAAACAACUAAAAAAAGAUUGAAACCAAAUAAUUAAGUGAUACAAAUAUUUGGGAAGUAAGGUAUCAAAGUCAAACAUGCAAUGAAUAAUAAUAAUGCAAAAAUAUUUAAUGUUUCAAUUUGAACAAUUCUGAAAACUUUUCUUUAGAUAACCUUUUUCCUAAAGUACUUUGGUGCAAAUCCACUUUUUUUCAACAAGUGUAUUUUUAAAUUUUUCUCUGCAUAUUUAAAUUAAUGUCAAAAUGAAAUUAAAGAAAAUGGUGGAGGUGGGGUGGGUAGUUAAACUUGUUUCAUGAACAGUUAAAAAAAGACUAAGGUGAAGGAGGGAAGAUAUUAACAUUGAAAUCAAUUACAAGAACAAAAUAAAGUAUCUGAAAAUUGAUCUAUAUAAUCUAAAUUUUAGAUUGAAUAUAUAUAUAUAUAUAUUCUUUUCAUAUAUUUUUUUUAUUUAUAUUUCAUUUCAGAUAUAAUAUUUUUUAAUAUUUUAUAGUUGACUUUAUAAGGUCAUGACACCUAUUAUAAUUUAUUAAUGAUUUUAUAAAAUUUACAGAUAUUUUUGCUAUGGUUAUUACAUUAUUACCAUACAUUUAUGGUUAUGCUUCUCCUAAAUUUCUUUAAAAUUUAAUUGCAUUUUUUUGUUCUUUUAUUAUUAUCAAUGCAAAGAUUUGGUAAAUUUAUUUUAAAAGUCGACGGUUUUGAUAUUUUAUUCAAAUUUUUGAACUAAAAAAUGAUGAUUUGACAUAUUUUAAAUAGCGUGACAUAUUAUACUAUAAUAUAGAACUAUUUAAAUGUAUUAAUUAUCCAUGUCAUUAAUUAAAUUAAAAAUAUAAAUAAAAAAAAAUCAAAGUUGAAAGUUAAGUUUCUAAGGUAUUUUAUUCCAAUUUCAUGUCAUAUUAUUUAAACAAUCCCACGUAAUCAUUCUUUAAUUAAAAUUUCAUAGCGAUAGACUAAAAUUAUCGACUUCUAAAAUAGAUAAAUCAAUUUCGUAAAUUAGUAAAAUUAAAAAUACUAAAACUGCAAUUAAGUCUUUCUUUAAUGGUUGACAAUAAUAAAAUUAUAAACAAUACGUGUCUUCCUUAAAUAAUUUCAAUUUUUUAGGUUUAUAUGGUAAACACUACAUAACAUUCACACAUAAUCAUUAAAUUUCAAAUUUUAACCUGAAAUAUAAUAUAUAAUAAUGUCGGACUAACGAUAUCGGUAUUAAACAAAUUUUUCACCUUGAAAAAUUAUUAUUGCACCAUUUGUCGUGGCCUGCAUCUCGAAGUGAUAAAAGAUACAUUGGGGUUACUCUUUUAUAAGUCGUCAACUUCGUCAAAACUUGUCUCCAAUUUGCUAAGGAAUAGUAUUUGAUAAAGGACUCAAUGUGCACGCCAAGAAGUAGUCGUCCAAUAUUUGGUUAACUAAUGUUGUCGAGUUCCUGUCUUAGGCUAGAAAACAAUUAUUUAAAUAUAAAUUAAAAAAUUUCUUGUAAUAGUAAUAUUAUUAUAUAGUUUAAUAAAUAUGUAAUGGUAAUGUAAAAUAAUUUAACAUUGAUAUUUAAUGAGUUAUUUAAUACUUUACAAAAAAUUGGCAUUGCAAUAUUUAGUCCAACUUAUCUAAAUGGCUCAUUAAUUAUUAUUCUCAAUCUAACUGAAUUCAUUACAUUAUUAUGUUUUUAUUUUAAAAAUAAAGAUAUAAAACAGAUCAGUAUUACAACUCAUAUGUGAUAUGACUUAUUAUAUGAUAAUAAGGCAAUAUGCAUCAGUGUGAUAAAAUAAAAAACGUCAUUUAUAUUUAUAUUUGAUGUAAUAUUCUUUUUUUUUUUUGUCUUAAAAGGAAUAAUAUAUUUUACUAUAAUUAAUUCACAUAACUGCGAGAUUUUGAAUUUUUCAAUCGAAAAAAACUUUCAACUUAAUAAUAUCGGUGUUUGUCAGUUAAAUUAGGAGUUAAAGAACGAUGUAAUAUUUAAUUUAUAUAUGUACAAAUGGUAAACAGGAAUCAAUCUCUAAAUUUAAAAUUAAAAAUGUUUCGAUCAAUUUAAAAAUUGUUAUAAUCAUGUCUAAGUUUUGAAAGAAGAUUGUGCUUAAUUUUUAGUACAAUAAUAAUAUAUUUAGUGAUGUGUACAUUAUAUAAAUUUAAUAAAUGAGAAUAAAGUAUUAAAUUAGUGUGUAAUGCAAUUUAAAUUGCUAGUAUAUUAAUAUUUUAUUGAUAUGUUGCAUAAUUUUCUUGCAGUACAAAAUUCAGUUGCAACCUUAUUAGCACUGAACUUUCUAAGUAUGUAAACAGUGCCUUCAAAUUUUUAUUUUUGAAACUUAUGAAUAAGUGUUGGCCUUUUGUGGUGAGCUGAUUAUUAAUACAUAUGAUAAUGUGCUAAAUAUGGUGAACAUAUCAAUGUUCGAUGAUUUUGGAUUUAUUUAUGUGGUAUUCUACUUACAUAAAUUUAUGACAAAAAUAAAUAAUUGAUAAAAAUUGAAUAUUAUUGAAAAAUUAAAUAAUUUAAAUUUAGAAGCUUUUUGCGAAAUGUAUACAUCCAAAAUUAUAAGAACAAUCUUCGUGGUAUUUUCAAAAAUCAAUAUAUUGGGUAACAAAACGUACUUGUAAUAGUCCUUUAGAAUUUGAAAUUUUGACAGUUUAAUUUGUAAUAGUUGUAACAUGCAAAAUGGGAAUUGUGGACUAUGAAUGUGAAUUUCCAGGCUAUAACAAUUAAUUAUACUAUAUAUUUUUUAACAAAAAAUGUAAAUGUAAAUUUAAUUUUUAAUUUUUUAAGUGUGAAUUAAUUUAUUGGGGGAAUUGGGAGAGGAGGAAAUUAAAAUAUCUACUUUUUGUUAUCAAAUUUUUAUCAUCUUUGACAAAUAUUGUAAUAUAUUUGUAGAAAUGUUAUCCCUAAAUUUAGAAUACAAUAUUUUCAUGAUUAUGUUAACAUAUUAUAUGUAAAGAUUUUUCUUAUUGUAUUCAUUUACUCAUUAUAUACAAAUUUAUGAAUAUUUAUUGAUGAAAUAUAUGAUCCGAAAUUUUAAAAAAUUUGAUUGUUUGUUUGUUUAUACAUGUUUUCCUAAUAUUUGAUAAAUAAAUGCCAAUAGCAUAUUUGUACAAAAAAGAACAUCUAAGUUGGAAUAGAAUUUGUCCAUUAUUAUUAUGUGUACAUAGUACAUGUAAUUUUGUUCUUAUAUUUUAUAUUAUACGUUAAAUUAACUAAAUGUAUUUUCAGCUUUUCACCGCAUAAAUGUAUUUUUAUUUUCUUGUGCGCUUAAACUAAUUAGAGCUGUACUUUUUUUUUACUCAAUAGUACUAGUUAUUGACAAAAAAAAUAAUCGUUGUACUUAUUCUUUGAUUGUAAUAAUUGUCUGUUCCUUGUACAAUGAUUUUAUUUUUUUCUUGGCAUUUAUUAUUGACUUUUUGUUGAAUCAUUAAAGAAAAAAAUUGUACUAAUUGCAUUUAAUUCAAAAUAAUUUUAUUAUUGAGUGAUAUUCAUUUUUACGUUUUUCAUUUCAAGUAUUGAAUCAAUUAUUUGUAGGUUAAAUGAUAAUUUUAUUUUUCCUUUAUUGGUAAUGUGUCUUAUUUACUACGCCUUUUGUUUCUGAUUUUUCGUUUUUGUCCCACAAUUUUAAUUCUUUUAAAAAAUCAAUAAUUAUUGAUGCCUUUUUUAUAUCAAUUUAAAUUUAUUAAUUUUUAAUACGUUAUUCAAAUCUAAAAUAACAGUUUAGAUAGAGAAUAUUUGAUUGAAGGAUUUUUGUUUUGAGUGGGUCACUUUUUCUUAUUCAAUCAAAGUAUGGUUACUAAUAUUCAAUGUAACAACCAAUUGAAAUUGAUUUAUUUUAAUUUUUUUUGUAGCAAUAAAUGUAGAUAUUAACGGAACAAGAUUCAUUCUAUGCUGACACGUGUAAUAAUGUUUGUUUCUAAUUGAUGUAAUUGAUCUUAGUAUAGAAUAGAUAGAUAGAUUAGCAAGACACCUAAAAAGUUAGACACAGUUGAAACCUUACUACUAACUAUUAACAAUCGCCAAUAAAAAGAAAAUCAAUGAAAUUGAUGAUUUAUUAGUUAUAAUGGGGACGUGAGAAAUUGGUUAUAAUGGGUGACGUGAGAAAUUGAUCAUUUAUUGGACCCACGUCCAUUAUAAUUUUGGCCUAUAAAGCAAACCCGACAUGGAGUUUGUCUAUAAGCCUCUUCAAGGACAGAAAUUUGGCAUAGGUUCUUAUACUAUACCUUUCCAAAUGUCUCCUUUCCUCUUUGUUUCUCUUGCUAUUCUCUUUUUCUUAUGCUUUUUGGAGAACAAUUUUGCCAUUCAAACACACCAUGAUGUUCAUCAAUAUACUCAUCUUGUUCAUAUCAACUCACUCUUACCAUCAUCUUCUUGCAGUUCUUCUAACAAAGGUCAACUCAAUUUUCUUUUACAUGCAUGCUAGCUACCUACUUUUUCACAUAUAUUAAUUUACCAUAAGAAAAUUUGUUAUUAACUAUGACUAAUGUAGUAGUUAAUUUUUAACUAAUCUCUAGUAAAAAAAAUUAGCUAUAAAUUAGAUACAUAAUUAGUAGUAGCAUAAUUAAGUGACAAAUUAUUUUGAAAUUUUGUCUCAACUAUUUAUAUGGUUUAUUUUAGUAUAUAAUUUGAUUUUGUCUAAUAUGGACCUCUAAAGAAUAGUCUAAGGGUCGAUAUCUUUACUAUUUUAGUAAAAAAAUAAGUUUAUAAUAGUAAAAAAAUGAUGAACAAAUAUAAUAUUUUAUUAAAAUUUAUUGAAAUUAGGAAAGUCCAUCUUUGGAUAGGUUGAUAUUAGACAACACUAUAUAAUUUAUGGUUAUACUCAUAUAAACCCUCAAGUCUUGUUUUGUGGUUCAAAGAAAUUACAUAUUCAGUUUAUUGUGAAAAUUAGAAAAUUAUAGAGGAGAUAGCUAGAGAGAGAGAGAGAGAGAAUAAUAAAAUAAUUUGGUAUACGAACAAAAUAAGAGAAAAUGAGCAAUUUUGUCAAUUUCUUUCAAGGGUUGACAUCAUUUUGCCAUGGAAUAUUCACAUGGAACCCACCAUCCCAUAUAAAAAGAUAGGAAGGAUAAAGGAACAAAAGCUAGCUACCACUCACAUAUUUUUUAUUUGAAUAAAAUCGAUUUAUUAAUCUUAGCAAACACUACUAAGAAAAGUUAAAUUAUGGAGAGAAAUUUAAAAACAUUAACGUAAAAAAUUCUCUAAAUUUGUUACUAAAUUUAAUGACAAAUAAAUUAAAGAUAAAUUUUAUAUAUUACAUCAUUAAUUAAUUUUUUUUCUUAGUGAAAGAAUUAUAAAUUUCUCCACUUAUUAACAAUAUUAUAUAUAGAGUCAUACACAUGUAGACAAACUUGAGUUAUUAUACAUUACAAAAAAAUUCAUUUAUUCUUUUGUUUUUUUCUCUUAGUUUAUAGUAAUAGUAUGGAGAAAUGUAAAGUAUAUAAUCACGGGUCAUCAGAAAUAGUGUGAAGAAACUCAUCAUCACAUUCACGGGUCAGUGAUCACGAUUAUAGUUUGUGGCUAGACAAUCAAUGAUCACUUGUGACAUACUAGUAUUUUGUUCAUUUAUAACAAGUCUUUUAAAAGAUAGGAUGAUUUCUAUAGGACAUUUUCAUUGCAAUUGUUCUUCUUACGAAUAACGAUUCAUGUCAAUUUAAUAUAAAAUAUAUGUAUUUGUUUUUUAAUAAUAUUAUAAUUAUAAAAGUAAAAAUAAUUAUUAAUAUUUACUUCUAAAAAGACAAAUUUUAUGAUCAUUUAAACCACAAUGCGUAUAACAAUUUCCCAAAAGAAAAAACCAAAAUUCUUCGCGUUAAUUUGGCACCAACCACUACAAGUCAAAAACCAAAGAACAAGUGGCCAAUUUUCUGCGACACAUCAUGUUUUUCUACCCACCUAUAUUUUGUUACAAUUCUACCCACCUUUAAGUUCUUCUAUUAGGCAAUUUAUUUAGGAAAAAAAUAAAGACAGUUUGUAGGUUUUAAUUUGAAGAAAUUUGAUUAAAAGAUCUUCAGAUGGACCAAAAUGUUUGCGGAAUGUGGUUAAUGAUACAAUUAAUUAUUGAGAAUAUUAUAACAGUAAAUUCUGAUUCUUUAAAUUAUUUGUCUGAUGAAUCUAAUUUUACUCAAAUUACAUCUAUCUAUUUAAUAUCACUUCGAUUUUUUUUAGUACAUACAUUGAAAUUCAAUUUAAAUAUAAAAAAUAUCAAUUUUUUCAUUUAAUCAAUGAAUUUGAAAAUUAUGUACUAAUAGUGCAAAUUAAAUGUUUAAUAUAUAGUUCGUUUUUUUUUACUGAGUAAGAACAUUAAUUUAGUUAAAAAAACAUUAAUUUGUAGCAUGAAAAAUAAAAUUAGGUGACAUGUAAGUGUCUAGUUAUACAUUUAUGAGUCCUACACACAUCUUGAAGUAAUUAAAUAUAUGUUGUAAUUAAUUGCAAUUUUUUAUUGGUUAACCCUUUCACAGACAAUGAUAAUAUACAAAUCUAAGUGUAAGUAAAAUCUAACUAAAUAUUAUUUUAAUUAUUUUUUAGAAUCUUAAAUCUCGCUCGGAACACUUAUGUAUCUCUUGAACUAAAUAAAUAUGUUUUUACUUUUACUCUCUCUUCCCAUUCCCAUUCCCAUUCCCUACCCCUCCAUUAAAAUCCAUCACAUUCCUUGUCUUUUGUUGAAUCAAAUACAUUAAUUAACAGAAAUUCAUAAACUAUUCCAACCACUUGUUUAUAUAAUUAAUUAUAUUUGAAUAGUGCUGAAUCUCAUCCAACUAGAAAAGAAAAAAAAAUGUCAGUGGGAAAGCUCGAUGAUUUUUUAGUAAAGCGAAAGCUAUAAGUUGGAAAAAUGAAUAUUUUUUUAAUGCAAAACUAUAUUAAAUUUCAUUAUUUGGUAUUUAGUUACAUGUACCUAACUUUAGAAAACAAUUAUUGGUGGGUAUCAAUAACCCUCCCUUUGGUAUAACCAUAUCAAGAUAAGAUUUUGUCUUUCAGUUCUUCAGAGAUAUGCUUCCAAUAUCUCUAGUUUUCUUGGUAAACUCACUCUCAUCCUCAUGAUAUUAAAUUUCCCACAUAUUUAAAUAAUAUAAGGUAAAAUUUAAUUUAGACAGCCCCUUCUUUUAUUAAAAAAAUAAUUUAGAUAUCAAAAUCUAACUGCUGAGAUAAUUCAUUUUAUUACAUUUUUAUCAAAUAUUGAACUUCCAACAAAAAUUAGAUACCAAAAAAAUCAAAUAGUUCUAAUUUAGCCUUUUUAAGAUUUAAUGACAAAAUUAGAGAAAUUUUGUUUAUGUCUGCGUUUUUUGUCGUUAAUUCAUCUUAUUUUCUGUACUAAUGUUUUUUUGUUACUCAAUAUUCUAGUAAUGUUGUAUAUACAUCAAUAUGCAAAAUUUUAUUGAUGACAUUAACUUUGAAGAAGAGAGUUUUAUGAAUCAUUUUAACGUAAUGGUUAAGCAACAACAAUUGGCACCACUAAAUUAACAUGGUUCUUGAAUUCAGGUCCAAAAAACAAAGCAUCAUUAAAUGUGGUACACAAACAUGGGCCAUGUUCUCAACUGAAUAAUGGAAAAACAAAGAUUCUUCCAACACACAAUGAUAUUCUCAAUAUUGACAAAGAAAGGGUGAAUUAUAUUCACAACAAAAUCUCAAAGAAGAAAAAUAUGGAGGAAUUGGACUCUUCAAAUUUACCAGCAAAAUCUGGAAGCCUAAUUGGGUCAGGAAAUUAUUUUGUAGUAGUUGGGCUUGGUAGUCCAAAAAGAGACUUAUCACUUAUAUUUGACACUGGUAGUGAUCUCACAUGGACUCAAUGUCAACCUUGUGCUCGUUCUUGUUAUAAGCAACAAGAUGAAAUUUAUGAUCCAUCAAAGUCUACUUCAUACCAAAAUAUCACUUGCACAACUUCUGAAUGCACACAGCUUUCUACAGCUACAGGUAUACUUUUACAUUUUCGGUAACAAUUUUUAGAAUAUUGUUUUUCUACAAUAUAUUUUAAAAUUCAUUCAAGGAAUUGUGAAAAGAAUUCCUUUUACUUCAAUUGUGAAAAUAAUUCCUUUAAUUGAAACACUCACACACUACACAACCACGUUUACACAACCACUUUUAUUUAUUUAUAGUGAAUAAAUAUAAAAUAAUUUUUUAUUCAUUUUUUUGUGUUAUGAAAUUUCACUUUUUUUACUAAAAAAAAUAAAAUUGUUGACAAUAAGAUACCAUUUAUCCUGAGGUAAUGAAUGAAAUUAUUUAGCAUAAAUAGCACAUGUGAUCUCUUAUCUUAAUUUCAGUUAACGUUUUAGUCUUUUAUUUUCUUUCUUUUUUUUCGGACUUGGUCCUUUAUUUUAGUUUUAAAUAAUAAUUUGAUCUUUUAUGUUUUAAAAUGUCAACAAUGUUAUCCUUUUUUUUUUUGCAAAAAUUCAAAAAAUUCAUCAAAAAUUUCAAUAAGACCCAUAAAAUUUAUUAUCAUCCUCAAUAUAAUGCAACUUUCAUCAAAUUCAAACUUAAAUCUUGAAAUAAACUCAUAUUUUCAUUUCUAACAACAUCAAAUAAAGAAUAAAAAUAUGAGUUUAUUAAAAUAUUUGAGUUACGAGUUUGAUAAAAUUUGUAUUAUAUUGAAGAAUAUAAUUAAUUUUAAGGGUUUUGUUUGAAAAUUUUGAUGAAUUUUUUAAAUUUUUGUAAAAAAAAAGAUAACAUUGUUGUCAUUUUAAAACAUAAAAGAUCAAAUUGUCACUUAAAAUUAAAAUAAAAGACCAAAUUAAAAAGAAAAAAAAAGAUAAAUGACUAAAACGUUAACUGAAAUUAAAUUAAGGGACGACAUAUACUAUUUAACCAAUUAUUUAUUAAUUAAUCCACUAAAAAAUAGUACAAUUUUUUUUUGAAAACCAGUGUUUUAUAUUAUUUUUAAAAUAUAAUUUUUGUAAUUUGAAAUCAGUUUUUAAAAGUAAAAAAUAUUUUUUGUUAUUCAUAAAAAAAAAUAUUUACUUGUUUUGUUACAAUAUAAAAUCUAAUCUAAUUCCAAAAAAUCAUUGUUACAGGAAACGAGCCAGGUUGUGCUAAAUUAACAAAUGCAUGUAUUUAUGGCAUUCAAUAUGGCGACCAAUCUUUUUCAGUUGGAUAUUUCGGCCGUGAACGGCUAACUGUAACGGCAAAAGACAGCGUCGACGGUUUCUUAUUCGGUUGUGGCCAAAACAACCAAGGCUUAUUCGGAGGCUCCGCCGGGCUUUUAGGCCUUGGUCGUCACCCAAUCUCCUUUGUCCAACAAACCUCUCUCAAAUACCACAAAACUUUCUCUUACUGUCUUCCCUCAACUUCUAGUGCUAUUGGUCACCUUACAUUCGGUGCAACUAGUAAUAAUUAUGUUAAAUACACCCCCUUUUCUACUACUGGUAGCAAUUCCUUCUAUGGCCUCGACAUUGUUGGAAUAACCGUUGCUGGAACCAAGCUUCCAAUCUCAUCUUCUAUCUUUUCCACCGGCGGUGCCAUCAUUGACUCUGGCACCGUCAUUACACGGUUGCCGCCAACCGCUUACUCUGUACUUCGAGAUGCCUUCAAAAAAGGCAUGUUGAAGUAUCCACCUGCUUCGGCGCUUUCUCUUUUGGAUACAUGUUAUGAUCUUAGUGGGAGCAAGGUGGUGUCCGUUCCAAAGAUUAGUUUUACGUUUGGCGGUGAUGUCACGGUGGAUCUCGCCGCGUCGGGGAUACUUUAUGUGGCGAGUGUGAAGCAAGUUUGUUUAGCAUUUGCGGCUAAUGGAGAUGAUAGUGAUUUGACUAUCUUUGGGAAUGUGCAACAAAGAACCUUAGAGGUUGUUUAUGAUGUUGGUGGUGGGAAAAUUGGGUUUGGUUAUGGUGGUUGCAAGUGAUCAAAUUAGUUAGUUUUGAUUUAUAGAUAUAACCAAUUAACUAAUCAAGCAAAAUGAAAAAUACAUUAAAAUUAUUGUAU
RNAcentral lists this long non-coding RNA (45101 nucleotides) under Cicer arietinum (chickpea). Its description in RNAcentral is "long non-coding RNA (CARI_LNC002834)". The record is from RNAcentral. Lineage: Eukaryota; Viridiplantae; Streptophyta; Magnoliopsida; Fabales; Fabaceae.